CUAGAGCAAGAAUAUCUCAUAUCAUCAAGGUUAAAAGCAAGAGUAUCCCAUAUCAUGCUUUUUCCCUGUCUUUUCCUUUGGCCUUGUUCUUACCUGCAAGACAAGGAGAAAGAGAGCAAUCAGUCAGCACUUGGAAUCAAGCUUCUAGUCCGGAACUAGCUGCCUGGAACCCCAUUGCUCUCGAGUACUCAUCUUCAACAUCUUAUGCUUCCCGAGAAGAUACCACAUCUGCCUGAGGAACAAAUAGGGCAAGUGAGAAGGAUACAAGGAAGCAUGUGGAGACAAGCACAACAGAACACGUGCCGAUACAUCCACUACUUUGUCAACAGCAAAAGUAUCUCAUAUCAACAGGGUCGAACGUACUUUAGAUUUGAUGGACUUGUUUUGACCUUCAAAUUCUUCAGUCGGCCUUAUACUCUGGCGGAAACAAGAAAACCCUCAAGCCUAGUUCAAGAAUAAGCAUGUGGAAAGUUACUUCUUCAAAAGCAAAAGUAUCUCAUAUCACCUUUUCUCUUUUUCUUCUCUUUAUCCUUUAUGCUACCUGCAAGAUAAGGAGAAGGAUAACAAUCAGCCGGAACUCGAAAUCAAACUUCUGAUCUGGGACUGAUUGCUUGGAGCUCUGAUUGCUUACCUUGUCUAUCACCUCUUUCAGCAGAUCUCCUAGCUCGGCGACUUGGGGGACUCCUACUACAUGGUUUGUAUCGCGCUUGACCAAGCCUGAAACUACAAGUAAGCAUCAAGUGAAAUUGAUACAUUACCUUGUGCAUCUCCACCAGUUAAAGAUACCACCCCUAGAGGGAGGAAGAGUACUUCCAAAGAAGAUGCCACAUCUACCUAUUAGACAGAUAAGGCAAGUGAAGACGAUACCACACUUCGGUACUUAAAAGUUUCGUGAUUACGAGAUCAUUCUUCCACAAUAUUUCCUAAUGUCAUUUGUACUAAAUCAUUCACUUGUACUCACUAAAGGAGAGCUUGAACCUAUAUACUGUGUAAACCCUUCACAAUUAAUGAGAACCCCUUUACUCCGUGGACGUAGCCAAUCUGGGUGAACCACGUACAUCUUGUGUUUGCUUCCUGUCUCUAUCCAUUUACAUACUUAUCCACACUAAUGAUCGAAUCAAUCUAGCGAAGAUCACAAACUUAAUAUUUAAGAUGAUAUUCUUUGGGGUAAACGUGAAGCUUAACCUUUGGAGAGAAGUGUUGGAAUCUAAAGGUCCUCGCCUAAGCCAAUCAAAGACAGAAUAUAUGGAGUGCAAGUUCAGUGAAAACGGAGGCCAAAAUGAGUUAGGGGUGAGGAUCGGAGAUCAGGAAAUACCAAAGAGCGACCGUUUUCGCCACCUAGGAUCUAUCUUGCAAAAGAACGGAGAAUUUGAUGGAGAUCUUACCCAUAGAAUACAAGCUGGAUGGAUGAAGUGAUAGAGUGCAUCCGGCGUGUUGUGUGACCGUCGUAGGCCACUGAAGCUCAAGGGAAAAUUUUAUAGGACGACAAUAAGGCUGGCAAUGCUGUAUGGCAUAGAAUGUUGGGCGGUGAAGCAUCAACACGUAGGUGUAGUGGAGAUGAGGAUGCUUCGUUGGAUGUGUGGGCACACGAGAAAGGAUAAGAUUAGGAAUGAGGAUAUCCGAGGUAAAGUAAGAGUAGCCGAAAUUGAAGGAAAGAGGAGGGAAAAUCGGUUACAGUGGUUUGGACAUGUGCAAAGAAGGCCUACUGACGCUCCGAUUCGAAGAUGUGACCACGGGACAGAGGUUCAGGGCCGAAGAGGUAGAGGAAGACCUAGGAAAACUUUGGAAGAGACCCUAAGAAAAGACUUAGAGUACUUGGAUCUAACGGAGGACAUGACACAAAACCAAACGCAAUAGCGUUCUAGGAUUCAUAUAGCCGACCCCACUUACUGGGAAAAGGCUUUGUUGUUGUUGUAUUGUCUUUUUAUCCAUUUUAACUCCACAGCUCCACAGCUUGAAUGAAAACUACUUCCAAAAAUAAUCCAAACGAAAAUUUUGCUGGCUGAUGGAAGUCACUUGUCCUGUUUUGAUCUUUUGUGUGGUGUCCUUUCUUACUGAGAACAGAAUAGCGUUUUGAUGUUAGCUGUUCUUAUUAACAAUACCCUUUUUAUCGAUCAUCCAAUGGAGUUCAGGGAUGAAAUAUUCUUGAAGUUUCACUUAUUGUCGAUGCGAACUAAGACAUUAAGGGAAAAUGGGUGUGGAUCUGUCUAUUUCUUUGUGCAUCUACUACAGCCAUAUUCCGAUUACGCAUCCAGUUUGAGUUUGUUGAUUUUGGACGCUUGGUAAAUCAGAAUGAUCCUUAAUGCCUCCUAUGAUUCUUAUUUUUCUUUGUGAUCUUUAGUGCCUUUUUACUAGGAUGGAAAGAAGGCGUGACCUGGACAUGAUCGUGAACAAUUUGAUUCUUCGUGAUCUUUAUGAUCGUAUAAAGGGAACAGGAUCUGCUGCUAGCUACUCUUGCAGGAGACGUUGAAGAGGGAUACACCGAGCGCUGGUGAAUGGUGUGUUUGCACCCAAAAUGUGCCCAUUUUUACUUAUUUGGGCCAUUGGGGUAAAAUAUGGUAUUUGAAUGAUUAAUAUGCAAGAAAGCUAACUUGGAAAGAUAUUUGGUUGCAAGUGGAUGAGUUUGACACUAUAAUAUUGUUUUUCCCAUUUGUUUGAGUGGUGGAGGUUUGUCAAGCCUUUGUUUAAUCAAGAUACAUGCAUCCUUGCAAAUGGGUAGGAAGGCAACAUACGGAUGUGGAUGUAGAGAACAUGUGAAAGAAGCCAACUUGCUUCUUUUAAAUGUUAGUUUAUUACAAGUGGGAAAGCAUGUGAUGAAAGCAUGUAGUGGAAAUGCAAGUUCCUCUUUUAAUAUUAUUUCUCCAUGCAAGUUGGCAAGUGAAAUACAAAUUGUCCAAGUUUCUUUCGGGCAUAUGCAAUAUCCUCAGCAAGGGGGUUUCCCUCAGAUCCCUAUAAAAAGAAGCAGAUGCACAAGGAUUAUAGACACUCAAUUAAACAAACAAAUACAAGCACAAACUCUGCUCAAACCAGAUUUGCCAAAAGCCUUCUUUUAUCGAGUUUAUUAGCUCUGCUGCUCACUUGCGGUAUCGAUCUCAUUUGUAGCUUUUAUGUACUCAUUUCCAGUCAUAGAAAUUACAAGCAAUAUUAGUCACUUUCCACUGUCAUUUACAUUUCCGAGCAACCUUGUCAUUUACAUAUUGUUCUAUCUCUCCAUAUAAGUAAAGUCCUUAUUUUUAAGGCAAAGAAAGAAUCUUGAUUUGAGCAACUCCCACUCAAAUGGUACAAUCUCUUGAUUUGAAGUCAAAAGGCGCAACCUCAAUCAUUCAAAUCCUGUCCACUAGCGGCAUCUAGUAGGCACGCCCGUACCCACCAAUCUCGUAUGUGAAGUAAAUCCCCGGCUUGCCCGCGAGGCCCAUGGUGAAUUUAUGGAGCAAACAUGGUGAUUCAUAAUGAACAAAAAUGUAGAGGAAGUUUGUGUAAUUAGGUCAAAUAUUGUGUCCAUCUUUGGUAAUGUGAUGGAAGAGGAGGGGGAUUAAUAUCUGUGUGAAAAUACGUCUGCAGCUCGUGCAAAUAUGAAAUGAGUUCCUUACUACUCACUAGUGAAUCAUGUAUGAAACAAAGGGUGCUAAUUUAUCAAUUGUCCAACGGCCCAAAUGGAUGCCUGACCAACAAGAAAUCCCUCUUUAAAAGGAGAAGGAAAUUGGUAACUGUUUGGCUGAUCUAUGCAUAAAACAAUGAGCAGUGCUAAGGUCACGAGCAUAUGGGUGGCCAACUAUAACAUUCUUCGUAAAAUAUGUCUUAGAUUAAUCAUUUUUUUUUAAGUAGAAUUGAUAUUUCGAUCUUUCUUGGUUGUAUAGUUAGUGUUAAUCAAGAGAAAUAAUUUUCGCACACUUUAUUCUUCUUCUGCACAUCUCUGUUUAUAUGUAUUGAUUCUCCUUGAUUUAUUCAAUCAAAACACACACACAAAAAUGACAAUUAGCAUGAAUGAUCAAUGCUUAAGAUUUUGGUUGCAGAGUUGAUCAACUUUAGUAAUGAUAACAUAUUGAUGACUCGACGAUGGCAUAAUAUCCAUGCAAUAAUGUUGUAAUGACGACAUAAUAAACAUUGAUCAUUUCUGCAAUCAAAUGUCAAAAACUAAUCAUUCUUACUAAUUAUCUAAAAUAAAUAACGGUAUACAGGGAAAAAAUAUAUAUAUGAGCAUGGGCAUGGUCCAAGCUAGGCCUGGCAAACGGGUCGUGUCUGUCGUGUUCGUGUCGUUUUCGUGUAACACCUGUUAUCUUAACGGGUCGUGUCGUGUCACACCCGUUAUCUUAACGGGUCUUUAACAGGUCGUGUCACUUUACCCAACGGGUAAAGUGACCCGACCCGUUAUGACCCGUUAAGAAAAAUAUAUUUUUUUUUUUAAAUUUGCACAUAUCACAUAUUGCCACAUAAAUAUUACUUCAAAACAUUAAAACAUUUGUCAUUUAAGUACUAUAACUACACUCGAAAAUAAGAGCCUAAUAAAAAAAUAAUACAUACACUACUAAGCUAUUACAAAUAUUAAAUGUGCAAGGAUAUGCAAAAUGAAAGAGUUUUUGUUUUAAAGGUUGUAAGUCUUUCUCAAAAGAUUAAAUCUCAGCCAAUCCAAAUGGUCAUCAAUUUUUUAAAUUUAAUUUAAUAUAUAUAAUUAUUAUAGUUUUUAGGGGUAUAAAAUUGUUAAAUUAAUAUAUAUAAUUAUUAUAGUUGAUUCAUACUUUUAUUAAGUAUAUAACAUAAGAUUUUGUGAUAUCCACAUCCACUAGUGUAAAUAUUUUAAAUUGAAGAUUAAAUUCAUUCUUUGUAUUCAUAUAUGGUCAAGGACUGUAGCCGUAAAAAAUCAUCAAAAUUGGAGUUAAAAUAACUGUUAAAUCGUGAUUUUUCGUUUAUAACCGUCGAAAAGUUUUGUCCCGUUACUUGAUCUCUGAAUGUUUGUUUUUUGUGAUUUUUUUGCUUAUGUGAUCUCGAAGCAUAUACAAACAAGUUUAACGGUUGGGAUCGUUGAAAUUAGUUUCAGAGAAUUCGUAUCCCAUCAAAACAAUACAUUGACUAACACUUGAGUUUAUUUAUACUUUCGUAUAACAUAAGAUUUUGUGGUAUCCACUUGUGUAAAUAUUUUAAAUUGAAGAUCGAAUUCAUUCAUUGUAUUCAUAUAGGGUCAAGGAGUGUAGCUGUAAAAAAUCAUCAAAAUCGGAGUUAAAAUAACCGUUAAAUCGUGAUUUUUCGUUUAUAACCGUCGAAAAGCUUUGUCCCGUUACUUGAUCUCUAAAUGUUUGUUUUUUGUGAUUUUUUGCUGAUGUGAUCUCGAAGUAUAUACAAACAAGUUUGACGGUUGAGAUCGUUGAAAUUAGUUUCGGAGAAUUCGUAUCCCAUCAAAACAAUAAAUUGACUAAUACUAGAGUUUAUUUAUACUUUAAUUAAGUAUAACAUAAGAUUUUGUGGUAUCUACUUGUGUAAAAAUUUUAAAUUGAAGAUCGAAUUCUUUCAUUGUAUUCAUAAAAGGUCAAGGAGUGUAGCUGUAAAAAAUCAUCGAAAUCGAAGUUAAAAUAACCGUUAAAUCGUGAUUUUUCGUUUAUAACCGUCGAAAAUAUUUGUCCCGUUACUUGAUCUCUGAAUGUUUGUUUUUUGUGAUUUUUUGCUGAUGUGAUCUCGAAGCAUAUACAAACAAGUUUGAUGGUUGGGAUCGUUGAAAUUUGUUUCGGAGAAUUCGUAUCCCAUCAAGUUCAUUGGUGUAUGUGUAUAUAUAUAUAUAUAUUAAGUAGAUUUAAAUCUAUUUAUUUUGUAUGUAUAAUUGACCGGUACACAGAGUAGUACAUCACAUGUCAUUAUAAAAAUAGUGGGAUAUAUCAUAUGUGCAAUAAAAAGUUAAUAACUUAAAAAAAAAAAAUUCUCACCACUGCACUUCUAUUAAUUUUCAUUUUUCCCUCUCUUUUUUGUUUCCUUUUCAACUUUUCAUAUAAUUUUCACUUUUCCCUCCAGCCUAUCCAUCCAUCUUUCCCUAAUUCCCUCUCUUUUUUGUUUUAUUUUCAACUUUUCUUAUCAUUUUCAUUUUCCCUCCCUUUUUCUUCAAAAAGGGCGGCACUGCAGCAGGGAAUGGAAUGGAUCAAUUAUGGAAUCAAAAUUCAAAUCAAUGGAUGCAUACAUAUUAAUUAAUAAUUAUUAUAGUUUUUAUAAUUCAAAAUUUAAUAUAUAUAUAUAUAUAUAUAUAUAUAAUUAUUAUAGAUAGUUAAUAUUUUGGGGUAUAAUUAUUAUAAUUAUUAUAGUUAAUUUAAUAUAUAUAUAUAUAUAUUAUAGUUUUUAAGGGUAUAAAAUUGUUAAAUUAAUAUAUAUAUAUAAUUAUUACAAUAUUUUUUUAGGGUUAUAAAAUUAUAAAAUUAAUAUUCUGCUUAUCGUGUAUCGUGUUACCCACAUGUAUACCCGAAUCAACCUGUUAUCUUAAUAGGUGCUUAUCGGGUUACCCGAUAACGACCCGAUUCAUUAUCGUAUCGACUCGAACACCUGUUAAUUUCGUAUCGUGUCGUGUCUGGUUAUCGGAUCGUAUUAGGAAUUGUUAGGCCUAAUCCAAGCGCACAAAAAAGCUGGAGUAAAGGCAAUAUUUCAUUUUACCAUGUUCCAUGGGGUCAGUUACUGUUACUCUCACAGUUGCAACGCCAAAAAAGAUUGCAAGUGGCCGCACAUUGCCUAAGACAACGACAGGUCCUUGCAGAAGCACUAUCAAACUCUCAGUGCGUGCAGGUUACAAAGUGGCAGCCUUUGCCCCUUGUAUCAAUCUAUCUCACCGUCCCAAGAAACUUCCAUGGGUCAUAGGCUCCUAGGGAUUUUGACCAACACCCUUCUCAGCCCCCGCCCCUCAACCCCUAGCACCACUCUGAUAGCUUUUUUCCUCUCUUUUUAUCUUAAGUGGGGCUAAUGAGGUUCCAUUCUCUUUCCUAUAUCCUUGUUUGGAUUCAAAGGUCCCGAAAGAAAACAAAGAAGGCGUGAAAUCCAACUUUUAUAGUACAUGUAUUGUAGUAUCUUGUAUCAAUGAUGUAAUGUUAUGUAAAAAAAUUUGUACAUGUAAUUUUGUAUUAUUAAAAUGAAAUAUAAAAAAAAGUCCGACUAAAGUCAUUCACAUACUUACAUCGAAUCAAACGAAAUUUAAAAAAAAUAAAAUUAGUUAAAACAAGAAUGAUUAUUAUAUGAACGCAUCUGACACAUGAACACAGUCAGAGUCAUCAGAUUUGCAGAAUCUAUUUUUAACAAAGGUUUGUACGUCAUGUAUGUUGGACAAUUGAAUUUCCCCAAUCCAAGUUUCAAGUUCCAACCAUGUGCUGACACAUUUACUGCACAAAAUGGAUUUGGAUUCUCUGCCCUUCCAUUUCGGUGUCUUUCCCGUGCCCUCCUAUUUUGUGUGGUCACGGUUAAUCCAUGCUAACAUUUUAUAUUAUUUUUUAUAAAAAUAAUAAGACAAAAAAAAAUAGUAAUAUAAAAUAUUGACGUGGUUUAACCGUGACCACACAAACAGGAGGGCACGAAAAAGGCAUCGAAUUGGGAGGGCAGAGAAUCCAAGUCCGCACAAAAUAUUCACAUGAGAUUUGCACUUUCCUACACUGCAGCGAUAAUAGGCCCACCACACGUUUUGCCUUAUCUACACUGUCAACCUGCUGGACCCUCAUCCAGAUUUUGAUUCUGUUUUCACAAGCUUGCAACUUGAAUGGCUACAAAAGGAUUGCUAAUUGUUGAUUUGAUUUCAAAUCAACCCAGAGGUUUCCUCUCUUUAAUUAACCUGUUAACUGAAAGAAACACAUGGGAAUUCCAGUCCAUUACCUGGUCAAAAGCAUUUUCUGAAUGCAUAUGGGCAGAUUCAAUGAUUUUGGAGAUGCAGAAAUAUGGAAAUAAUUGAAACAUUCCCAUCCCCUUUCCCAUGGCAAGUCCUCAUCUUCGAAGGUUCAAGUGAUCUCAUUUUUUUAAUUCCAUCGAAAAUCAUAUAUAUAUAUGUGUGUGUGUAUGUAUUAAAAAAAAUAUAAACUAUAAUGGAGCAAUUUGAAUUUCAAUGCAAAAAAGAUACAUACCACUCCAUCUAACAUUGAUACGCUCAAAAUUUCUGACCUCCACUUUAAAAAGUUGCAUCGUACAAAAUUUUCAUUUCAAUGUCCCUCUAAUUUUAACUAUUUACCUUAUGAGUUGAGAGAGGAGGGCUCUCCCUAUUUUUUCCCUUGCUUGUUUUAAAAUCAAUGAUAAUUCUUUGCAAAGGUCUAAGAGAAUAUAUAUAUAUAUAUAUAUAUAUAUAUAUAUAUAUAUUUGGAGUUUCAUAGGCAUUAAAAAGGUGGAGUGCUUGGGCAAUGGCAUCCACUUUGUUGUUUUCCUGGCUUUUUCCAUUUUUUCCACUUUAUAUUAUGUACUUUUUUCUUUCUCCGCAUUGGAGAUAUUUAGCUCAUGAAUUUCAGGUGUUGGAAUCAAAUUCGUCCAUCAUCAUGUAGAGAGGAGAUGCACAAACUCAACUAUCUGUAAAAUAACAUAUGAUCAUGAAUAACUUUGGCACAUGUAGGGUUCAGCCAAAGAUGCUCUGACAGUCAAGUUAGUAAGCAAUAUAUAAGACUCAAGCAGUGGGUGAGAGAAUACAGUUUGUUAUAAUUGUGUUACCAAAGAUGAACCUAGAUGAGUGAAUUUAUAUUAAUUGGGACAGGGACCUUUCCGAAACAUAGGGUGAUGGUGGCAUCGCUGGUCUGUUUGUGUAGCUCAAACCGAUUAGAGUUGUUGAGCCCAUGACCGAAUUUCUAAAGUAUAUGUAUUCCGAUCAGUCUGACUCUGGCCUGAAAAAUCAUAGUCCCACGCCAGGUUUUCAUUAUUAAGUCCAAGUAUAGAGUAUGGAACCACCUUGUAGAAUCAAUAUCAAUGGUGGGCAAUUUCUUGGGCCACAAGCCAGAAAUGUAUAUAGCUUUCUUUCGAUAUAAUUAUUAUGAAAAUAACAAUACUUGUUUAUUGAAGCUCUCAAAUUUAUUUAGUAGGUUACGUGCUAACCUAUAUAAUGAUAUAAGCUAAGCGACCAAGAGAUUUUCUAUUUUUUUUUUUUUGGGAUUAAAAAACAACUACAUUAAAGAGAAAAGCCCCUAGGGCAACCAGUUUGGUAACAAUCAAAGAGGAAGGCUAGAGUUCUAUCCCAAACAUGAAAAUCUGAUACCGAAUAACCCACACUAGUUAUAGCAUCUGCCAGAAAAUUGGCUUCCCUAAAGACAUGAUUCCAGCAAAUCUCCUUAAAAGAACAUGCUAGCCACUAAAUAUCCUCCAAGAUGUUCCUUAAUCUCCAAGGGGGUUAUAGCCACCUUUAAUAGACUCAAAACCUUGAAUCACCCUCCACCGCAAUACGAGUCAAACCUUUGGCCUAGCCAUCCACAUGCCAUCUCUCAGCACCAGGCAUUCCACAACCGAAAUUGUGUUUUGGCCAACAAAUCUAGCUCCCACAUCCAUAGGCUCUCCAUUCUCGUUUCUCAUCACAAACACAGCAGCCGCACCUUGAUGCAUAACUGAGCCAUCGAAGUUAAGUUUCACAAAACCUGCCUUCGGAUGGGACCACUGGAUAGGAGAAGUUAGGGAGGGCUUGCUACCAUUGCAAACCCCAGGUAUUGCUCCAUUGGCAUCAAUGAAAUCCCUCCCAAAAUUGAGGGCAGCCUUAACGAACCAUGUAGGGUUUGGAAUUUUAUUUUGGAAAAUCACCAAAUUUCUCUCUUUCUAAAUAUGCCAACAGGUUAGUAAAACUUUACUGAGAUCACACAUACCUGCAUCAUUCUUGUCAGCUAAUUCAUUGAGCCAAUCAUGGAAAGGAAGAGACUGAUUUAGUCUUAUGUUAUUAGAUAUAGUUUGACAAUUCCAAACUAGAUGUUCGAAAUUACAAUUGAAAAACAAGUGAGAUAUGUUCUUAUCCUCUAAAUUACACAAAAGGACAAGUGGACGGGAUGUUAUUAACGUAUCUGGAUAAUCUAUCUCUUGUAUUUAGUCUUCCAAUUAUGAGAAGCCAACUAAAAAUUUUGAUCUUAUGAGGAAGCUUAAGCUUCCACAUUUUCUUAAGAAAGUCACUUGCAAUAACAUUAUUACUAUCACUAUUUUGUAUCCAAGUUGCCGACUUAACUAAAAACUUACCAUUUGCAUUAGAUCCCCAGCAAUAACUACCACAUUGGGGGGUUAAGGGGAGGGGGAUACUACAAAUGCUAUUCACAGUAUCCUUAUCAACUAGCAACCGCAAGUGAUCUCUAUCCCAAUGUCCUAUUAGUGAAUUGACUCACCUUUAGGUUCAAAUCAAUAUCAUUAGCCUUAUUUGAAGGAACAAGGUUGGAAAAAGGGAAAGGAAAAAUGUAAUUAUGGGUCCAGAAGAGGAUGUUCUCCCCAUUUUCCACAACCCACCUCAUCCCCUUUUCAAUAAUAUUUCUCGACUUAAGGAUGCCUUUCCAGGCACAAGAGUGGUUUUGUCUAAUUUUAGUAUUAAGGAAAUCCUCAUUCUUCAAGUAUUUAUUCUUAACAAUCUGAACCCACCAAUUUUGGUUAUCCGUUAGAACUCUCCAGCUAAACAAGCAUUAUUAAAAGUGAUCAUUUUUCCUAAUACCCAGACCCCCAUUUUCCUUCGAGCUGCAAACUCUAUCCCAAGCCACAGGGACAAGUUUGUAGUCUUUACCCCAAAAAAGCUUCCUACUUUCUCUAUCUAUAGUUUUUGUGAUUUUCUCAGGGCACUUAAAACAAGGCAUGGUAUGAUUGGGAAUACCUAAGAGGUUGGCCUUAAUGAGAGUUAGUUUUCCCGCUUUAGAGAGAGUAUUUGCCUUCCAACCAGCAAGUUUGUUCUUAAUCUUGAUAAUUAUCUCCUUUGUAUUAACUUGAUCCUUCCAGAAAAUAAUAUUGUGAAUGCCUAAAUAUCUACCAAUGGUGGUUUUAUGCUGGAUAGCAAGAAUAUUAACAAUAUCACUUCUAACAUGGUUAUGGGUGUUAUUUGAAAAAUAAAAAGCUGACUUAUGAUAGUUGAUCUUUUGACCAGAAGCUUGAGCAAAGUUAUCUAGAACCUUAGCAAUAUUCCUGGCUGUAGUUCCAGAAGCCUUAGCAAAAAUCAGACAAUCAUCCACAAACAUCAAAUUAGUAAUUCUAAAGCCCCUAGGUGCAGUUAACAGACCAACAUUGCCUUUGGAAGAUUCUCCCAACUUAUUCAAGUGUCUAAUUAUGGGUUCCAUACAAAAGAUAAAAAUAGGGAUAACUUAAUAUAGAUCCAAUUUUGUGAGCUAUUAGUAGAAUUAGUCCACUUCAUUGAAAUAGGUCCAAUAAUUGAGAUUUCACGUAUGCUUAUUUGUGGUUUGUACCAUAUUUGCCCCUUAGGCUUAUGAAUUGUAGUAAAUACACAAAAUUUCUUAAUUAUGGGAUUAUUUGUGGUUUAACUAAUCCCUUAAUUGUAGGAUUAGUUAUAGCCAUAUAAUCACCUCAACCCCCAAUCCGUUUCAUCCCUCCUUUUUUUCCUUCUUCCAAACAAUUCCCUCUAUCAAUAUUCCUCUUUUUUUUUUUUGUCUCUUCUUUUCAUGGGUGAUAUUUUUGUGUUCUUCCCUCCAAAUUGGUUCCUUUAAUGGAGGUAUAUUAUAUCAUAUUUAUAUUUCUACGUUCCGCCAUGUAGGUUCCCAACAUUUUUCUUCCAAUACAAUUGGUACGACCUUCUUAUACAAUAGGUAGGUAGUUACUAGAUUAUAUCGGUUUUGUUUUCUUCAUAAAUAGUAGGUAGUUACUAGAUAAUAUUUUAGUUUGAGUAUUUAAAUAUUCAAAAUUUAAAAAUUGAAUAAAUGAUUAAAAAAAUUAAAGAAUUUAAAUAAUUUUAUUUGAAGGGGCAAAAUUGAUAUCAAAAUAUGUAAUUGGAUAAUUGGACUCAGUCCCAAAAACUACCUUUGUUGAAUAAUUGCAUAUCCAAGAACCAGGGAGCUUUUGCCCCUGGUAGAUCCAUUCAAGAUAACAUCCUCAUUGCGCAUGAACUUUUUGCCUCUUUUAAGAGUAAAAAAGGUAGAAAGGGUGCUAUGGUCAUUAAGCUUGACCUUGAAAAAGCUUAUGAUUUCCUCAAUUGGGAUUAUAUUAAAGGUGUGAUUGCUAAAUUUGGCAUUAAUAAUCACUGGAUUAAGCUUAUCAUGGAGUGCAUUACUUCGACUUCUUUUUCUAUCCUUAUUAAUGGUAAAGCUCGUGGUUAUUUCUAUCUUUCUAGAGGUAUUAGGCAAGGAGACCCUCUAUCACCUUAUAUUUUUAUGGAGCUUUUGGAUCUAGGUCCAAAAACAUAGGAAGCAUGAAUACAAGGAAGCAUGAAUACCAUCUGGUUCCGGUGCUUUUAAAGCACCAAUGCUUUUAACAACCUCAUACACCUCACUACCAAGAAUAGGCCUAUUUAAGUUACCAUUCUGCUCAUCACUUAUACAAGGAUCAAAAUGAAAUAGUCCAGAGCUCCUUGAGCAGGUAUGAAAGGAGCAGAUAACCUAGCUUUAAAAUCCUUAACAAAAACCCUCUCCAAACCUUCGCCUUUCCACCACCAAUUACCUUGGUUAUCUUUUAUUUUAUUAAUUUGAUUUCUCCUCCUUCUUAUGUUGGCCACUGUUUGGAAAUAUCUAGUGUUCUUAUCUCCAAGUUACAACCAAAUAGUUCUAGCCUUCUGGCCCAGAACAAUUCCUCAUUCUUUAACACAUCACUCAAGCUGAUUUUUAAUUUCAAUUUCUCUAUCAAGGAGGUUACUAGGAUCAGAAACAAUCAUAAUCUCUUGUUGAAUUUUGUCCAGGUCCCAAAGAAGCCUUUUUUCUCUUUUCUUUUUUUUUCAAAUAAAUUCCCAAAAACUUCUUUUUUUUCCAAUUUCCAACCAGAAACAUAAAAGUCCCUAGGUAUCCCUAACCUUUUCACAAGCACUACUAGAAAUAUUAUGCUCCCAAGUUUUCCAACAACACUUUUAAAUCCCGGGUGGGAAAGCCACUUAGCUUCAAAUUUAAAAGAGCUCCCACGCAGAUUAUUCUCACUUCUAUAGCUACUAGUCUCAAGCAAAAUGGGGCUAUGAUCAGACCCAAAUAUAGGGUAGUUAUGAAGAGUAGCACUAGGAAAAGAGUUAAGCCAGUUCAUGUUAGCAAUGACCCUAUCUAGUCUAUUGAAAAUAAUGGUAUUAUCCUUAUGUCCAUUACACCAGGUGAACGGUACACCAAUGGUAGAAAUAGAAAUUAAAUUUCCUUCAUUAAGGAAGUUAUUAAAGCUGAUCAUGUGAAUAUUAACAUUUUGUCGCCUCCAACUUUUUCUUCCAUAUUAACACAAAACAACAACAACAAAACAUUUUCCCACUAAGUGGGGUCGGCUAUAUGAAUCCUAGAACGUCAUUGCGCUCGGUUUUGUGUCAUGUCCUCCGUUAGAUCCAAGUACUCUAAGUCUUUUCUUAGGGUCUCUUCCAAAGUUUUCCUAGGUCUUCCUCUACCCCUUCGGCCCUGAACCUCUGUCCCAUGGUCACAUCUUCGAACCGGAGCGUCAGUAGGCCUUCUUUGCACAUGUCCAAACCACCGUAACCGAUUUUCUCUCCUCUUUCCUUCAAUUUCGGCUACUCCUACUUUACCUCGGAUAUCCUCAUUCCUAAUCUUAUCAUUUCUCGUGUGCCCACACAUCCAACGAAGCAUCCUCAUCUCCACUACACCUACGUGUUGAUGCUUCACCGCCCAACAUUCUAUGCCAUACAGCAUUGCCGGCCUUAUUGUCAUCCUAUAAAAUUUUCCCAUGAGCUUCAGUGGCCUACGACGGUCACACAACACGCCGGAUGUACUCUUCCACUUCAUAUAUCCAGCUUGUAUUCUAUGGGUGAGAUCUCCAUCAAAUUCUCCGUUCUUUUGCAAGAUAGAUCCUAGGUAGCGAAAACGGUCGCUCUUUGGUAUUUCCUGAUCUCCGAUCCUCACCCCUAACUCAUUUUGGCCUCCGUUUGCACUGAACUUGCACUCCAUAUAUUCUGUCUUUGAUCGGCUUAGGCGAAGACCUUUAGAUUCCAACACUUCUCUCCAAAGGUUAAGCUUCGCGUUUACCCCUUCCUGCGUUUCAUCUAUCAACACUAUAUCGUUUGCGAAGAGCAUAUACCAAAGAAUAUCAUCUUAAAUAUUAAGUUUUUGAUCUUCGCGAGAUUGCUCCAGUCAUUAGUGUGGAUAAGUAUGUAAAUGGAUAGAGACAGGAAGCAAACACAAGACGUACGUGGUUCAUCCAGAUUGGCUACGUCCACGGAGUAAAGGAGUUCUCAUUAAUUGUGAAGGGUUUACACAGUAUAUAUGUUCAAGCUCUCCUUUAGUGAGUACAAGUGAAUGAUUUAGUACAAAUGACAUUAGGAAAUAUUAUUGAAGAAUGAUCUCGUAAUCACGAAACUUUUAAGUACCGAAGUGUGGUAUCGUCUUCACUUGCUUUAUAUGUCUCAUAGGUAGAUGUGGCAUCUUCUUUGGAAGUACUAUUCCUCCCUCCAGGGGUGGUAUCUUUAACUGGUGGAGAUGCACAAGGUAAUGUAUCAAUUUCACUUGACGCUUACUUGUAGUUUCAGGCUUGGUCAAGCGCGAUACAAACCAUGUAGUAGGAGUCUCCCAAGUCGCCGAGCUAGGGAAUCUGCUGAAAGAGGUGACAGAUAAGGUAAGCAAUCAGAGCUCCAAGCAAUCAGUCCCAGAUCAGAAGUUUGAUUUCGAGUUCCGGCUUAUUGUUAUCCUUCUCCUUAUCUUGCAGGUAGCAUAAAGGAUAAAGAGAAGAAAAAGAGAAAAGGUGAUAUGAGAUACUUUUGCUUUUGAAGAAGUAACUUUCCACAGGCUUAUUCUUGAACUGGGCUGGAGGGUUUUCUUGUUUCCGCCAGAGUAUAAGGCCGACUGAAGAAUUUGAAGGUCAAAACAAGUCCAUCAAAUCUAGAGUACGUUCGACCCUGCUGAUAUGGGAUACUUUUGCUGUUGACAAAGUAGUGGAUGUAUCGGCACGUGUUCUGUUACGCUUGUCUCCACAUGCUUCCUUGUAUCCUUUUCACUUGCCUUAUUUGUUCCUCAGGCAGAUGUGGUAUCUUCUCGGGAAGCAUAAGAUGUUGAAGAUGAGUACUCGAGAGCAAUGGGGUUCCAGGCAGUCAGUUCCGGACUGGAAGCUUGAUUCCAAGUGCUGACUGAUUGCUCUCUUUCUCCUUGUCUUGCAGGUAAGAACAAGGCCAAAGGAAAAGACAGGGAAAAAGCAUAAUAUGGGAUACUCUUGCUUUUAACCCUGAUGAUAUGAGAUAUUCUUGCUCUGGUGUAGCUUGUUUGCAGAGGUAUUCUCGGGGGGAAAGAAAGCUGAGUAUUUCGAGAGGCUUCGUUGGGAGUGCCUUCUCAGAUAUGAGGAAGGGUUGAGCAUUUUUGUAGGUCUGCCUGUCCGUUGAGGAUUGAGGUCGACAUAUAUAAGAGUCUCCCUAACAAGAAGGAGUAAUACUAUUCUUUUACCCUGCUUGGUCAUAGCACGGUAGUGGGAGCUGCCAGCUUCACGUGUUUUAACUCUGUCAAAGCACUUUGAAAAAGUGGUAUGUGGUAUCUGGAAAGCUGAUGUUACGUGUGAAGAUUACAGACAAGCUUUAUCCAAGGAGAUCUGGCUCUCGAAGUUGAGAAAGCGGUGUGAGGAUUACAGACAAGCUUUAUCUAAGGGGCUCUCGAAGUUGAGAAAGUGGUGCCUCUUCGGUUUUCGAACAAGCAAUCAUGUCGGGGAUCUAUCUCUCGAGAUUCGGAGAACGGUGCCUCUUCGAUUUUUGAGAAAGCAGUCCUACUAGGAGUCUGGCUCUUGAGAUUCGGAGAUCGGUGUCUCAUCGCUUUUUGAGAAAGUAAUCAUGUUGGGAGUCUGGCUCUCGAGAUUCGGAGGACGGUGCCUCUUCAAUCUUGAAGCAAGCAAUCUUGUUGGGAGUGUUUUCUCGAAUGUGAGUAAAGAUUAGGCCUGUUUGCUAGUCUACCUUGCCACGGAGCACAGAGGUUGACACACAGGGACUUUCCAAUUAUCCAGCAGUGGUCCUGUUCCUUUACCCUUGUGGGUAAUAAUAUGGUAGCUAGACCUUCAAAAUUUAUGUGUCUAAACUUUGUUAGUGCUGUUUCUUUGCUAUUCUUUUACCCUUCUUGGUCAUAGCGAUGUAAUGGGAGCUGCAAGCUUCACAUGUCUAAACUUUGUCAGAGAUUUUUGGCAAAGUUAUCUGUGGUACCCGUGAGCUGAUGUUGCGUGUGGAAAGUGGAUGAUUGAACAGUAACAUUCACGUGCUUUCUACUUCACCAGAAAUCUUCGACAGAAUGCCCGUAAUUUUCGUAAAGUUGAGUGUGCAUGUGACAGGUGCUGACAAGGCUGAAAAAGCAGGUGCCUCUUCGAUUUCUGAGAUCAGCCCUCGUGGUCUCUGAGCAGCCCAACUUUUGAGAAAACAAGCGUCUCUUCGAAUUCUGCGAUCGACCUUCGUGGUCUUUGAGCAGCCCAGCUUUUGAAAGCAAACGCCUCUUCGAUUCCUGAGAUCGGCCCUCGUGGUCUCUGAGCAGCCCAGCUUUUGAGAAAGCAAACGCCUUUUCGAUUUCUGAGCAGGCGCCUCUUCGAUUUCUGAAGCUCCAUCGAGUGCAGAUUUUUAUAGAGGCUGGUAUUAAGUUCCAAAGCACACUUGAAUCUCCACCAGUAGAAGCUCCCUUCUUGCAUUUCUAAGAUCUUGAUUUGUCCGACCUCUUUUCUCUUCAACACCUUUUAAAAUGUCUGGCCCCUUCGACCGUCGUUUUAACUUGAACCUUGUUGAAGAGGCAGCCACGCCUUCUCCAGAUAACAUAUGGCGCCCAUCCUUCUUAUCCCCUACUGGUCCUCUUACCAUUGGGGAUUCCGUGAUGAAGAAUGAUAUGACCGCUGCGGUGGUGGCCAGGAACUUUCUCACUCCCAAAGAUAACAGACUACUUUCCAAACGGUCUGAUGAGUUGGCUGUUAAGGAUUCUCUGGCUCUCAGUGCUCAGUGUGCAGGUUCUGUGUCUAAUAUGGCCCAACGCCUAUUUGCUCGAACCCGCCAAGUUGAAUCAUUGGCGGCUGAAGUGAUGAGUCUCAAACAGGAGAUUAGAGGGCUCAAGCAUGAGAAUAAACAGUUGCACCGGCUCGCACAUGACUAUGCUACAAACAUGAAGAGAAAGCUUGACCAGAUGAAGGAAUCUGAUGGUCAGAUUUUACAUGAUCAUCAGAGGUUUGUGGGUUUGUUCCAAAGGCAUUUAUUGCCUUCGUCUUCUGGGGCUGUACCGCGUAAUGAAGCUCCAAAUGAUCAACCUCUGAUGCCUCCUCCUUCUAAGGUGCUGUCUAGUACUGAGGCUCCGAAUGAUCCCCCUCCGGUGCCUUCUCUUUCUGGGGUUCUGCCGACUGCUGAGACUUCUCCUAAGCAACCUUUGUGAAGGCUCCCUCUUGUUUGUUUAUUUUUACUCGUGUAUAUGUACAUAUUUGUAACUUCUUAGAGAUAUCAAUAAAUAAGCUUUGUUUCAUUUCAACGUAUUGUGUUAAAUACACCAAAGCCUUCUUCACUAAGUUCUUUGAAUUUUUCUUUUGUUGAAGCUUGUAUGUCGAAGCUUUGUGAGUGGGUUGAGGGAACAAAAGCAUAACCCCAUCUUGUAACUCAUUUUUUGUCUCCUCACUAACUGGGAAAUCAGCUGGGCAAAUCACAGGUUCAUCCUUAAAUAUCCUAUCCACUAGCAACAACCAUCAUUAUUGUAAUCCGCAGGACAAAAGUGUCUCUCCAAGCGUUUCCUUCCACAGUAGAAACACAUUUCGAACAACAUUUGGUAGCUUAGCAGCAAAGGGCACUCCUCAUCAUCAUCUUAAGUGGUAGCCUAAGGUAUACUUCCAGCAAGACUUUCAUAAAAAGGCCAUUUAGACCAGACAUGGUGGUCUCAUCCGCUCGAAUAAAAUUUCCUAUAGGCUGAGUAAUUACUUCUAGAAUCUCAGCAUCCCUAUAUUGUACUGGUACCCUUGGAAUCCUUAACCAAACUCUCAGGUUGGAAAUAAAGUCCCUGUCCUGAAAAUGCACAUGCCAUCUUUCCAUAUGAAAAAUUUUCCCUCUGACAUACCAGGGCCUAUUAUUCAAAGCAAACUCCAACUCAUCCUCAUCAGUAAACUCAAUGGCAUACCACCUAUGACCAAAGUGAUCAAGAUAAAAUGGAUUCUUGACUUUAUCCCCCCAGGUUAGACCAAGCUUCCAUUUAAUGGUCCUCGCAUCAAGUUGUUUUCCCACAAGCUUGCCCAUACUAUCCAUGUACUCGACAUUAAGGUUGGAAUAAAGAUUGGUAAAGACUUUGGUAACACCACUUUCUAGUGUAAAGGUACCACGAGCACCUUCCACCACCACCGGGGGUUGUCCAAGCAAAGGGUUAGCAAACUUAUUAGCCUAAGAAGGAAUUAUGGGGUUAGUGGGAAUACAAGCUUGCCUAGAGGAGGAGACUUCGAGUUGGGAAAUGACCAUCAUGGUUGAAAGAAUAAGGUACAGGCAAAGAGUGAUAAGAGUUAGGAUGGAAGUAACACCCAACUCCAAACCCCUAUAAAUACUAGCGGAAAAGAAACACCUAACACGUAACGGUUCAAGAUCAACAAUCAUACACAAGUAAAAUCUAAUAAUGAGCUGAAUACUGAAAGAGCCAAUCCAAGCAACAAAGCAAGCAUGCUUAGCCUCGAGACUCAUAAAAGCAAACCAAUCAAACAUGUAAAACCUAAUAACUAACUACUCGAAAACAUAAUUUGAGCUAGAAAUCGAAAAACCAGACAAACAAUAGCAACUCUUUAGCUUCCUUCUAGCACCAUAAUUAACAAUGCAGUAAUAAGCCCAAUAAGAAAUGAAACUUACCUUGCACGCCCAUCCUGGGAAAACACUCACCUUGCAGCAGCCAUUAAGCAUUGACGUCAUCGACCAAGAAUGUUUUCUUGGGAAAGUCCUCAGCUUCUGCAUAUCGCUAACUUCCUUGCACACUCCGAAUAGCAGAACAUCUAGUAUAUGGUAGUAAACAACAGCUUGCGUCACCCCCAACUCACCGACCUUAGGUAAAUCCCUCGUCUCUUGAUCUUCUCAUUAUGGAUUAGCUCUUCGCACUCACCUCUUCUAACAUAAUGAUUAUAAAAAAGGGAACUUUAACAAAAAGCAUCCGAUACUGUUCACUUUAACGAAAAACCACAUUUUUAUACUAAAACGUCAAUCCUGGUACUAUUCACUUUACCCUUUAUUUUGUCCUUAUCCUUAAAACUUAAAGUUUUCAAGCUCUUUUAAUUAGUUUUCCUUAUAAAAAACCUCCCGAAACACUGCCUCGUUAAGACAAAUGCGCCUUAUCGGAAAGAAAAAAACUCCAGUUUCUCUUGAAAAUCUGCCUUAAUUGAAAUUUCCCUCCCCUCCAUUAUCCAACUAUUUAGCCAAUUAACUACAACCCAGCUGAAAUUUGCAAAAAAAUAUAAUUAUCCAAGUGGAUUAAUUAUACCAGAGUGAACCCUAACCCUAGAAAUUUCCCCCUUUUUCCCCUCUCUACUCUCAUCCCCUCUCCCACUAGGUUUUUUCAAGAGAUUUUUUGUUACGUCACGGUCCACCUCAUGUUUUACCCUAAAAUAUUAUAAAUCAGAUUAAUCAAUUAAAGUGUUGUGAUUUUAAUUUAAACAUCAUAUAACAGUAUUACAAUUACAUAUAAAACUUCUCGACUAGGCUAUGGAUAGAUUGUUUGUAAUAUGUACUCAAACGGGUCUAUAGGGCCUACAAAAUUUUCUUGAAUUGGUUGGUCGAGACUCAAAAAAACAACUUGACCAAUGUGUUUUGAUGGGCUAAUUAGAUUCUUUUUUACUCUCAAUAUGAACAUGUCAUUCGGGCCUGAUCCGACAAACUAUUUUUUCUCCUCCUCUCUCUUUCACAUGUGUUAUGCCAAUAAUUUAAGUUCAAUUGGUCUAGUUCUGCCAAGGACUAGGUGAUUGAAGUUCUCAAACUUAUUUUGCUUGUCGUUUAAGGCGUGUACAAAUGCAGAUUUGGCGGUAAGGAACUUACAUAUAGAACACAUCAAAUCAAGAGUUGUGGUACUUGCAUAUGAGCAUCUAUUAAUCAUCGACGAGCUGUGAGACUUACUUUUAUUAACAUGGCUGAUAUUCAUAUGCACAUGUAAAAGAAUUUUCAAUAGUAUUUUUCUUUAAUUAUAAUUAACACGAAAAAAUACCAUAAACUUUUAACUUUUGCAGCAGCAUGCUACUGAUUCUCACGCAAUGCAAAGUUCAAGGAGGAUUCUCGCUAGAUUCUCUUUGUGAGGAUCCUAAGAACCCUCUAAUCACAUCCGUUCAUCGUAUAUUGUGCUGACAAAAAUCAUUGUAAAAUUUUUUAUUUAAAAUUAAAUAUAAUCAGUACCUGAUAAAAACUGACCAUACGAUGUACGAUGAAUGAAUGUGAUUAGAGGAUCCGGCUCUCAUGCAACGUCCAAGAGUUGUACCUUUUUGCUGACACAUGGGGCCUUCUAAGCAUCCAAUUAACACACAGCUAGCUAUCUCGCCUAUUGAGGUUGAUGUGGCCGGCUUGCAUGCCAAAAAUCCAAGUCUUAUUAACUAUAUAUAUAUAUUUUCUUCAAGGGUUGAAAGUUGCGGAUGUGGUGCUACAUAGUUGAAGGCAAAGCGUAUACUUCGUCUGAACUUGCAGCAAGAUAUUCAAGUUAUGACGACGUAAUAUGUGAUUUAUGACUUAAUAACAAAUCCGACUACAAUCUUCAUUCUCAUAAACAAAAUCUAAUUGUUUAUUUUUCAAAUCACUCAAUGCUACGUACUGCAAGAGAAAAUUGACUUCAUAAAGUUUUGUUAAAAAUGAUAUGCAAUAAUAAUAUUUGGUGGAAGAAUGAUUACUUCAACUAUCGGCAAAAAGCAAAGUAUUACAAUCAUUCCUAGAGAUUUUGCAACUUUAUUAAGUAGAUAUAGAGAUAUGUCAAUGGGAUUAUAGAACCAUAAUUGAUAAAUUAGGUCCCGGCCACAAGAGAAAAACCAGGGGGGUUUGCAUUUGUUAAUUAAAAGAAGAUUAAUUAAUCAACACAUAAGGGUACAACUGUAGGGUCUGUAUACGGGUGGCCAUGAUAAUUGCCAUCACACCUUUUCUGAAAAAGCCAUCAACAAUAGGUCUCACAAAAUAGCUAAAAUAUAUAAAAAUAAUAAUAAUACAAAUCAAGUAAGGAAAAAAGAAAAGAAAAGAAAGGGUUGCAAAUGCCAAUCUCUUUACACACACUUACAUAUGUAUCUUAAGAUUGUUAAAAAACUUUUGGAAAAAGUAGGGGAAUCUACUACUCAAGCUUUGUGAGGGGGGCAUUGGUAGCACUUUGUGAAUAGACCAAAUGUGUUAACUUGGUUUAUGAAGUUGAGCAUGCUUGCCCAUCCUCCAAACCCAAAUCCCACUAUCAAAACCCAUACCACCACAAAGAUGUUCAUGGUGUAUGAUCCUGCCCAGCCUCCUAAGAAUGAUGGUGGUUUCUCCACAGCAUUCUGCAUGUGUGUCAUAAAAAACAACAACUAGUCAAUACCUGCACUCAUAUGUCCGUUCAUAUCUUCUUAACAUGGUUUGAUAUGUUAUGUUUUCAGACUGUCAGUUCAAACCAUGAAUUGUAUAGAUUUUAGUUUGAGUUAAUGUAUUUGGCAUGAGGUGGUUACCGUCUUUUGCAAUUAUUAUAUCCCAUGCCAAUUAAUAUUUUCAUUUAACGAAAUGAAAAACAACAAUGAAUAUAUCAAAUUAUCAAACAAAAGUAAUUACUAAUUUGAUUAUUCUUUUUUUGUUUUUUUGAUGCAAAGGUACGAUAUUCAUUAAACAAAUUAGAAUACGUACAAACUUAUAUUCUUUGAAUGGUCUAAAUUUACAAUUACAUGUCUGAUACAUGGUAUGAGAACGUUACUCUCCUUAGCAAUUAUUCAAACUUAUAUUUCUAUAUAUAGCAACAUAAAGCAUUAGUAUGUCAUGUCACUCAAUUAUCAAUCUAAAUUAUGAAUUAAGCAUGUUCUUAUAUGAAUAUAUAGUAAAAAAUGAUAGUUUGAUAACAUGUAGGAUAUAUUUCAGAUAUAUUUGAGCAUUAUCGUUAGCAAUGAUUAUCUAAUAUAUAUUUAAGAUAUAUUCGACCAUUAUCCUUAGCAAUGAUUCGACCCCAUGCAAAGAUUAAAGGAAGACUAACCUCUCUAGCAGAUGCAGAAGCAAAGGUGACCAUGUGAGCUAAAGCAGGAAUUAUGUAGACAGUAAAGCUGACAAGAAGAGAUCCAACAGUUGAGUUGAUGGGCCCAAAGAAUGGGAAAAUGAUGGCAAGGAACCAUAUCGGGAUCACCACUGGGAGCCUCGCCAGUGCCCUCUUCACCAUGCUCUUGGUCUCAUGCAUUUGAAUGAAUUUCUCCCACACAAAGUACAAAGGAGUGCAAGCAAAUCCAAAUGUGAUAAACUGCAUGCACAAAUUAAUCCAAUUAUAUAUGUAAUUCAACAAUUAAUAUUUAGAAAUAAUUAGAUGCGAUUAAGAAACCGUGUUAAUUAAUUACCUGAUGAAUGAGCAUUAGGACUACUGCAGUGUCUCUAAACCUAGUCUUUGGAAGCAUGGCUAGGGCAUUGGAAUGAGUCAAGAGAUUGUCCCCGAAAGCCCAGUACACAGCAGACGCAGAUGGUAGGGUUAAGGUCAGCACAUACAGUGUUGCCAUCAAGUAUAUUAACUUGAACUUUUGUGGCUUCCACAUUGCAUGCAUAAUUUCCCUAUAUAUAUAUACCACACAACAUUAAUUAAUCCUUGUUAAUCAAAUUAAUUAAUUAAAACCCAAGUUAUUAUCAUUACUGCUUAUUUAUUCAUUAUAAUUAUUUACAAAUGCUCACACUGUAACAGCAUGUCCACCAAAUGUGUAGAGAAUGUUGGUAGCCCCAGUAAAGUAUAGAACCAUUGUGCUUGGACCAGAGUGCUUCACUCCCUCAACCUUUGUGGACACAUAGAAAUUAAUUAUAAUUAGGGUUGACUGCAAAAAGAUCUUCCAAGAUUUUUGCUGAUUUAAAUUAAUUAUAUAAUGAAUUCAUACUGUGUAUAUUUAUAUAAUUAAAAUACCUGCCCAUGGAUAAGGGAAGCAAUGGUGAGAUACCAAGCAGUGUAAGUAGUCAUAAUAAGGCCCAAAAAUGACCAAAUUCGGUAAUUAUGGAAUGAGGGGAUGAAGACAGUUGUAGCACAGCAAGCUCCAAAGAUGUAAGUCCAAGUUCUCUUGUCGAGAUUGUCGUUUAUGUAGUAGAUGUUACUGGGAUUAAAACAAAGGCAUCAGACAAACCAAUACCAACUUUUAUGUAAUUCAUAACAUCUAUAUGGUUAUGAUUACGUACCUUGCACAGGCAAUUAACUGAAUUACAGAUCCAAAGAGAAGAAAAGUGCAGUUGAAAAAAAGGCCUACAUUCCUCCAAUGUUUUCCCAAAAGCCCAUCAAGAACUUCAAACCACUGCAAAUUAAUUACCAAUCAUUAUUGACGUUUUGCGUUUGAAGUAUUUUUCUUUGAAAUCUGAAGUGGAAUGUUAUCAAGGGCUUACACGUGAAUCCCGAAUUGAAAUUAUGUGAUAUAAAAGAAAAUGGAUUAUGAACAUUAACUGUACAACAAAACCCUCAACAUUUCAUGGCAGCAAGAUUGAUAGGAUAGAGAUUAAAAAAAUUAUAGAUUAUACAUACCUGAAUUACAUGGUUCCUAAAAUCCACCUUUUCUCUCUCCUUUCUAGUUCUGUACUCGACAUAUAGUAAACUGAUGAGGUAAGCAGUCCAGCUUCCCAUCAAUCCAUAAAAAAGCUGAAAUAGUAUUCCAGAUAACAAACCCAGUUGGGAAAAUGAGUAUGGCAGUGUGAGAAGCACUUGAGCAACCUGCAAUAUAUAUUAAAUAUUAAUUCCAUUAAAACCAAAUGAAGAUAAUUGAAGAUAAUUGAAGAUAAUUAGCUACAUACAUCAAAUUACAUAGUUACAUUAAUACAAUGAUAUAUAUAUAAGUAUUUUUGUAAUUAAGAUUAGAUUUGUGCGUGCCUGGUUAGAAGCGCAGCUAAACCAUGCAUCAUAUGCUGAGCCACCAUGCCAAAGAAAUGUUGAUAGCUUGCUCUUAGCACUUGUCUGGGCAUCACUCUGUUCCCUUUCCAUUUCGACGUAGUUUCCGGCUAUAACAGUCUCAACCUUCUCGGAAGCCAUUGUUAUAGUUUUGGUGGUGUUGGUGUGGGAGGAAGAAGCAAUGGAUGAGUGGAUGAGUAGUCUAUAAAUAAAUAGAGGGAGUGCUUCUUUUCACUCUUUCCACUCUCCUUAAGCUUUAGCUUAUAACACCCUUUGCUUUUUGUAGAUGUAAAUUUGUGUUCAAUAAUUGAGUCACCCAAGUGGAGAAAGCUAGAUCAUCACCCUUAGCCCUAGAGGACUGUGAUUGCAUAUAUGUAUAUACAUGUUAGUACAUAAAAAUAGUUGUUAAAGCUCUUUAACUAUUGCAGUUUAAUCAGCGUUAUUAAUACUCUCAAUUUGUUACUUGAACACUUUCAAUAAAAUAUGUUCUAAGUUUUUAUAUACGUAACGUAAAAAUUUUCACCCAAUAAUCAAGUAUCACAAAUUACUAUGAUACUUUUAAAUCUUCAUAUGUAGAACCUGGUAAUAUUUACUUAUAAAUAAGACACUUUGGAUGCGGUCCAUAGCUAUCAAUAUUCUUUGAUUAAAACUUUGUUAGUUUUUAGUUUUUUUAUUGAGGGCCCUGACAUUAAUAUAAUAAUGUAAGUUACUAUAUUUUUUUAAUUAAAAAUUAAAAAAUUGAAAUUUGUUAUUGUUUAUAUUAAUGAGAUUUUAAAUAAAACCCAUAAUUUAUGGGAUUAAAAAUAAUAAAAUAUAAAUUAUACUCUCUAUUAUAUUGUGUGUGUGUAUGUAUAUACAUAUAUGUAUGGGUACAUUAACCAAAAUUAACAAAAAAAAUUAUUGUACCAAAACAUGGAUACAUUCUCAAAUCAACGAAAAAGAAUGUACCCAUAUAAAUUUAAACAUGGAUAAAAAAUUUUGAAUGGAUUUUAUAUUAAAAAAGGGUACAUUUUACAUAUAACAAAUUGAUAUAUUUGAGAAUGGGUACAUUUAAGAUUAAAAAAAUUGAAAAAUUAUAUGAAUGGGUACAUUUAAGAUUAAAAAAUUGAGAAUCUUUUUAUAUAUAAAAAAAAACUAAUAGGUACAAACUUAAUUUAAUUUAUUUUUUAUUAUUUUGGAAAUGUUUGAAUUGAAAAUUAAUUAGAAGUUUAAUAGAGGUAUGAGUAUUAAACCCUAAAUUAAUUACUAAUUUUUAUAUUAAAAUAUUAUAUAAUAAACAUGUAAAUUCAUUAUCAUAUUAAUGCUAGGGACGGGAAUCAAAAUUUGAGAACUAAUAAAGUCUUAGUCAAUGAACAGUAAAAACUAGGGACCGGAUACUAAUUUUUCCCUUAUAAAUUGCUAUUAACAGGUAAGUUUCUAAGUGGACAAUGCUAUUCACACACCUAUUUUUACCUUUCACAUAUCCUUGUUAAUUUUGGCUAUUGAUCUUAUUUAAUUCAUUGGAUCCGACAGUUAGAAAUUGAGAAGUUGUGGGUGAAGUAAAAAUAGGUGUGUUGAUAGCACACCCUUUCUAAGCACAACAAAACAUUCUACCUCAAGUAACUAAUAAGUAGACAUGACAUUCGUGCGUGUUUCUCGUGUUCGUGUCAUUUUCGUGACAUACCUGAUAUCUUAAUAGGCCGUGUAGUGUAACACUCAUUAAAAUGAAUGGGCAAUAUGAUUCGACCCGUUAGCCGUUAAGAAAAAUUAUUUUAAAUUAAUAAAUAAUCAAAUGAAAAAUGUAAUACUAACAACGUAAGUGAGAUCAAAGAAUCCAAUGGUAGGUGAUUAAAUCCUAUGACUAUUAUUGUAGCAAGGUUUUUUAAUUGUUUUUAAUUAAUGUAGAAGUGUAAAAGAUAUUAAAAAAAAGAAAAAUAUACAAAUGCUCGUAAUGACAAGCUCUACAACUAUUGUAAAGAGAUCGACUCUGAAAUCAAGGGUUUAUGUAUUAUGGAUUGUGGUCGAAUUUCGGAGUUUGUCUCUUCACGAAAGUUGUAAAGCUUGUCAUUACAAGAGUUGUAUAUAUAUAUAUAUAUAUUUUUUUUUUUUACAUUUUUCACCCUUUUGCAUUCAAACAAUAAACACUAUUCAUGAGGAUUUGGAGGGUUUUAAAAUCUAAACAACGAUGUAACCAUCUCUAAGCAUAGAAAAUGCAAUCACAAGCGUUUGUAUAUUCUUUUCACAUUUUUCACAGUCUUACAUUAAUUAUUAUAAAUUUUUAUUUAUUUUGAACUCCCCUAAAUAUAUUGUUCACGAGGGAUUGAGGUUUUAAAAAUUUAAACAACAAUGUACCUAUCGUCAAAGCAUAAACGAUGUGAUCACAACGUUUGCAUAUUUUUUUCACAUUUUUCACACUUGUAAUGUCACAACCCGUCCCGAAUAAUUAAUUUUUGAUGACAUGAAAUGACAAUUGUGCCCUUGGAUGUUAAAGUGUAUUGUGUGAUUAAAGUUAGAUUUUGGAACCAUUUCCAUUAUUUUCCUAAGUCUUUGGACCUAAUUAAAAGUAAGGAAAUUGUUGUUUUGAUUGGUGACCCAAACUGUUUGGACCACACAUCCUUUCUCUCUCUCACUCUCCCGUGCUCUCUCUUCUCUCUUUUCUCUCUCAGUUUCACUCUCUCUCUCUCCUUGCUAUACAUACGGACAACCUUGAACCAAGCCAAAUCUUCACAGAUCGAAGGUUUUGAGCACACCAUUGUGUUCCUUAGUCCAUUUCGAGUUCAAAGGUACCCAUUUCAAGUAAGAACUCGUUCGAUAUCAUGUUGAAAACUCAAGCUCCGAGUUGAGCACUAUUCAUGAACUUUUGAAUGGUUAUGUUUUAGGACAAUCUAAGCUCACAGUGAGCUCUAUGAGGUCCCAAGGAAGCUCAGAGUGCUUCGUUUGAAGGUUUUGGACGUCGGGAUCGUGUGGACGAAGUUUGGCCGGGUUUUCUUGGAAUUCUCCAGUGAGAUCCCGUGACUUUUAGAGCUUUAAAUUAGUAUGAUUAUGUUUUACAAGUUAAGAGCUUCAUUUUGGUGUAAAUUGUGUGAAAAAUGAUGCAAAACAAGCGAGAAAUAGGCAAUUGUAGGUCUGCCCAGAAUCCGGUGCCGGUGACACUAUUCCGACAUCUGAAAGUUGAAGAUGAUACGUGUGAAGGCGCGUGAGGCCGUGCCCUCCCCGACGCGUGAGGGCGUGUGAGCCACAGGAAAAUUAUUCUAAAAAUAUCACGAUGUUCGUAAGGUUGUGUAGGUCACGUUGGUAUAUUCAAAUACCAAAAUUGAGCAAUGUAUGAGAAGUUAUUAGCUAGUUUUGUCUAUGUGCUUUAAAAUAACGUUUUUAUAGUUAAUUCGCAUAUAGGUGAGACUUAUCCCGAGGACGAGCGUAUCCAGGAGCGACUCGGAGGCUACGACCCUUCGACAUACUAGUAAGUGGGUUUUUGUUUUCAGUAUAUAUUUAUAUACUUGAUAUAUUUCCCUGAAAUGCAUUUUAAGGAAAGUAUGCUUUGAAAUAAUAUGCCAAAUGCUUUUAUAUUAUGAAUAUGCAUUUCAUGGUUGUAUAUAUAUAUAUAAAUGUGGUGCUGUGGAGGCACAGGUAAGUUCAGGUAAGUUAUGUUUGAGUAUGUGAAUCAUCGACGAUGUGAUAUGCGAUUGAAUAAUGUUGAGCUCAUAAAACUGCACCUAGGGUGAUUGAAAUUUAGACAGAGAUAUGAAGCACAUGCCUGUUUAUUUACAUCACCUCCCGCACUAUAUGCUCAUAUUGGAUCCAACUUAAGUGCACAGUCUUGUCGUACAUACCUUAAUUAUGGUUCCAACUUGUAGGUGACUAGCGAUUUAUCGCCCGGCUAUUAUGAGAGAAUAGAAUUGAGCAUAAUUAUAUUUCACCCAAUCUUGUCGUAUAGACCCUUUUUAGUGGUUCCGACAUAUGUGCAGUAUAUUGUCGUAUUGGUCAUUGUAGUGACUCCGGCUAAAUUGACUUUUGAGCUAUGAAUUCAGCCGUACAGACUACCACAAGGGUUUCGGCUAACAUAUCAUAUAUAUAUGAAAUCAUUCUUAUCUGGAUUGUUUACUUUGUUCUAUUUUGGCAUGGCAUACAUUUGAAUAUGAUUAUGUGAAGCAUGAAUUGAAUUGAUAUGAUUACAUGUAUAUAUAAAUUAUGUACAUACUUACAUCUGGAUUCUAGGAAAAUUUUACAUGUUUUACAGCGAGGGGUUAAUACGUUGAUAAAAGAAAAUGAUUUUGUAUAACAUUUGUUUUUGCCCACUCACGUUUUCUGUUUUGCGCCCCUCUAGGUUUUAAGUAAGCUUGCUGUUGGUGGCUCGAGGACGUCGGCUGUUUUGACUUAUCUGAAUAAUAGUAGGAUAUUCCUGGUACUGUAUAACUAGUACUUGUCCUACUGGACUGCAUCUAUACUUAUUAGCUUUGAUUAGGAGUGUCUACUAUUGUAACUAACUCCUAUCACUUUCUGUUUAGUAGUGCACUCUAGUAAAUUGGUUUUUGAUUAUUCGUAUAAAUCUUAUUUUAUUGCUUCUGCACUGUGCACAUAGCUACGUCACUCUCACGUGACGGCCAACAUGCCUUGAUCUCGGUCGGGGUGUGUCAUGUAAAGUAAUUAUUAUGACUUUUUUAAUGUACUUUGGUAUUUAUAAAUUGCUUCAGUAUUUUGUAUGUGAUGUACAAGUUUUUAAUCUCACUUAUGUGAGAUUAAAUACUAUAGAUAACUAUUGUAGUAAGGUCUUUUAGUAGUUUAAAAUUAUCAAAUUAACUUUUUUCUUAUCGGGUUGAAACAAGUUGCUCGCGGAUAAAUUUGUCAAGAACCCGUUAAUAAAGGGUUAUUAAUGUAUGACCUGAUAACGAUACGAUUAGUUAACAUGUUGAUCUGAAAUACAUUAUUUUCGGGACGUUUCGAAUCAGAUUAACAGGUCAUGUAACAAAUUGUCUGGUCUACUAAUAAGCAUAGGUAAUUACUCAUGCACCACUCACACAAUUUCCUUUAUAAGAUAUUUUUAUUUCAUUGUGUUGGAGAAGAUCCAUUGGUUGGUGAUAUAGAUACGUACCCACCACGUAACAUACGUAUUCUACUUUUCUACCAAAUUUCACUUUAAACUUGUUAUCUGGACAUGAAAAAGCUGUUGAUGGGCCAUUCCUAGCAUGCAUUUGCACGAGCGGCGGUGGCCCAGGUUUGGAAGAUGUAUAGAUUGGUGGUUACAGCAUACUGAUAGAUGGAUGAUGCUGAUAAUUAUAGCGAAAAAGUGAGAUAAAACAUGAUAAAAUCUCUCUCAUCUAUUAAUAUUUUUAAUGAGAUCAACUUAUAUAUAGAACGAGUUCAUUGGUAUUGUAUUAUUCUGACCUAAUUGUGCAUUAUCAAGUGAGGAAAAAUUUAAACAUAAUAAUGCAUUAUCAUUAAAUUGAAACGUCACGUCACGCUAAAUCCAUUUCAAGCGAGUCUUUUUAUUUCUUAAUAUUGGGGAGUGGAAGACGGAAGAAAUGAAAGUUUUGAAGGAGCAGUUUGUCUGUGAUUUGAGUGUGAGUUUGUGUUACGUGGGGGAGCCUAAGAAAUGUAGUGAAUGAUUGCUUUGAGGUAAGCUUGGUGCUAAACAUGAUUAGCACCACACGUGUGCCAACUGGCUUUACAAAAAGAGAUCUAAAAACACCUUUUCUCCUUUUUUACAAAAAGAUUAGGUCGUUAAAGGGUUCUUUGGGCCAUUGAUUCGGCUUCUAAAUCAUGAGAUUAAUUGGUAAAGUGUCUUCUAAAUUCACUGUUUUAGCGGUGGUAAUUUUUGAAAAGAAAUAGGAUUAUCUCUCUCUUUAUUCCCUUCUUAUUUGAAUAAUCAAGAUUAAGAUACGUUAAUAUUUUAUGUUAACUUUUUUUAUAAAGAGAUAAAAAAAAAAGGGAGCAUUUUUGCUCACCACCAUUUAGUGUGGUGUAUGCUUAUCACCCUAUUUAUCACUGUUAGAUGAGUUUGAAUUUUCAAGAUUCGUGUAGUGGAUAAGCACAAAUCUCAAAAUUUAAACUCAUCUAACGGUGAUAAAUAGGGUGGUGAGCAUACACCACACUAAAUGGUGGUGAGCAAAAAUGCACUCAAAAAAAAAAGAGGAAAGUGAGAAAGGGGAUGAGAGGAGGGAAGGGAAUAAGAUUAGGAGCGGAGGGGAGGAAAGAGGAUUAAGAGGAAACAGAAUCCUACUCCUUUUGAAAAAUGUUAUUUGGGGUUCUUUUCCACGUCCAGCGCACUAUGUUGGACUUUACUAGGUAUGUGAAACAUAUCAUACAACAAUAAAUCUUAUUAAUCAUUUAAUGAUUUUCGUACUCCAUUUUUUCAUCCUGUACUCUGUUACUUAUUUAUCUCGGAUGAGGAUCCUCUUCAGAUCCUCUUUAUGAGGAUAUUAGAGAUCCUCAUAUUCUAACCGUUCAUCGUAUACCAUACGGUCAUUUUUCAUUAAGUACUAUUUGUGUUUAAUUUUAAAUAAUAAAAUUCAAAUGAUUUCUAAUAGCACGAUGUACAAUGAAUGACUAAGAUGUGAGGAUCCGUAGGAUUCUCACAAUUUGGAUUCAGAUGAGAUCCAAAUCCGUUUCUGUCAAUCAACACAGUUGGUUGAUUUAGUUUUGUGGCUAGGAACAAGAUCAGGAAUGAAGUUGAUAGAAAGAGAGUGGGAAAAUCACUUCCCAUGUUCUAUGUUUUAGAAUAUCAUACAUUUUAUAUCCUUCUUCUUUAAAUUUUGUUGUCAUAUUCUCCGUUAAGCUUGCAAAUGUCUUUGAGGGUUUAGCUUGUACUCAAAUAUGAGAAUAUUUUUUGAAGAUGACACUUUAUCUGGCGAAAACCAAUGAUGCCUAUGCCGUAUGGUACGGGGACGAUUUCCACUUAUUCUACCCUAACAGCUUAAAAUUUUAAACACUAAUAUUAUCGUUUGUUAAAAAAAAAUAAAAAAUGGGAUUUUGGUGCAUCAUAUUGUGAUUAGGGAUGGCCAACGGUUAUGGCAGGCGGGUAACCGCGGUUAUUUACUCAUAACCGUUUAUGCUCAUACCAGCAUAACCGUUUACCCGUUGAGUAAAUGCCUAAACGGUUAUACUUAUACCCAUAACCGUUUAUAAACGGUUAACCAUACCCAUAACCGCAUACCCAUUUAACCGUAACCGUUUAAUCCUCGUUUAACCAUUUACCAUUUUUAACCCGUUUAUCUUUUUUUUUUUUUUACCAUUAUCCCUUUUUUACCCGUCUACAUGUUUUUUAACAACUUGAAAAUUAAAAAAAAUAUUGUCAUAAUUUUUUUUGGCAAUUAAACAUCGUUAUAGGUACAUUCAUCAUACAUUUCCGUAUUUUAAUUUUUUAAGUCCUUAUACCAUUCCAAUAAUUGAAAUAAUAGUUUACGGUCGAUAUUUUUAAUUGUUACCAAUGAAGGUAAAUAUAAUAUUUGCUAAGUAUUAUUGGGUUACAAAAAUUGUUUAGAAGACAUUUCUGUCAAAGCAUUUAUGUCAAUUUCACGGUUACCCGCAAGGAAUUUAAAUUAAUUUGGCGAAUUCCUUGAUGAUGAGAAUCAUCAUUCCUGUAGCAGUGUUGUUGAGAGAAUGACCGAUGAAUUCAUUGCUAGUUUAUUGGGUGCUAAGUAUUAUUGGAUCAAGAACAUGGUUUGUGUUAGUUUUACAUAUAUAAAAUAAAUGGAUAAAUGGUUACCCGUUUAUAACCGAAGUUAAUACCCAUAACCGUCCAUUUAACUUGCUCGGGUAAACGGUUAUACUCAUAACCGUUUAUUUAUCUAAACGGUUACCCAUAACCGUAACCGUUUAAUUUAAAUGGGCGGGUAACCGCGGUUACCCAUAACCAAUGGGUAUUUGCCCAUCCCUAAUUGUGAUUAGCCUUGACAGACUCAUAUUAAGUUGUUGUCGAGGGUUUCUUUGUAUUUCUUAAUGACCUUGUAAAAAACAUGGAAAUUUUAAUAUUAGGGUCUAUUUGAUAAUUAUUUUGUUUUCUACUUUUGCUUUUCAUUGUUUGAGCUUGAGAUGAAGAAAGUGUAAUGAAGGGUAAUGGGAUGAAAGGGAAGAAAUGAAAAAAACUAAACGAAAAUAAAAUUUUAAAAGUAAAACCAAUUCUUUUAUACAUUUCUUCUAUAUCUUUGUGUCACCAUUUUUACUUUACUCUUUUAUAUCUGAUUUCUCUUAUGUACUAGCGUAUGGCACACACAAAGCAUGUGAGAAAAUUUUUUAUUUUUGUUUUUGAAAUAGAAUGAGAGAGGGAGAGAGGAAAAAAGUGAUAGAGAAUGUGGGAGUGAGAAAGUUUUUUUUUUUUUUAAUUAAAGAUAUGUUAGGAUUAUAUAUAGGUGAGACUUUGAAAAAAAAAAAGCAAAAUUUGGUUGUGUAAAAUUACAUUUAUGCUCCAUAUUUCUUAUUCAUGUUUUGUUUUAAUUAAAAUGUUAAACUGGUAAUUUCAUAAAAUUUUGAUUAACAAUAAAUAUUUUAUUAAUUAAUAGAGAUAUAUGUUUUUUUAAUUGGCUAUUUAUAUAUAAAUGAAUAACUACAAAUUAUAAGUCAGAGGACCGGUUGACUACCAGUAUCACAUGGAGAAAUUAUUGAGUGGUAUGUCAGUAUCACGUCAGCUGGUGAUACUUUUCACGUAACAUUUUCCUGAACCAUUAUACCAUCAUGCUGACUCUCGUUGCCUCGGUGAUUCAAUGUAAAACCAUCCUCUAAUUAAACCUUACUAUACUUUGGCUUUCAACCACUGCAUUUUCAUCCGUUGGAAGCCAGGAGCAACUCUUUUAAUCCAACUCGUUCUUUUAUAAUAGGGAAGUUUAACAAAAAGCAUCCGGUACUGUUCAUUUUAACGAAAAACCACAUUUUUACACUAAAAAGUCAAUCAUGGUACUAUUCACUUUACCCUUUAUUUUGUCCUUAUCAUUAAAACUCAAAGUUUUCAAAUCUUUUUCAUUAGUUUUCCUUUUAUAAUAUGGGGUUUGAUAUCUACACAUCUAUUUUUACUUCUCACACACUCUUUUAAUUUUCAGCUGUCGGAUCAGAUGAAUUGAAGAAGAUCAACGGACAUAAAUUAACAAAGAGUAUGUGAGAAGUAAAAAGGAGUGUGUGGAUAACACACCCCUUAUAACAUUGAUGCAACAAAAUUCUUGAUAAACCCCAUUGCUUAAGAUUUCCAUCACCAUUUAACUCAAUUCUCAAGAGGAAAAUUCCAUUACACGUCCCGAAAUGUUCCAAGCAUUAACAAGCACCGUUGAUGCCCAAAAUCAGAGGGGUCUUGGAACAACAUAAAUCUGACCGUGAAUCUGCAAGAAAGUAAAGAACACAAGAUGUAUCGUGGUUCACCCCAAGGUUUGGGCUACGUCCACACUGAUUAUUGUAUUUCUCUGAGAUGUUGAAGAGGGAGAGAGAGACCUUCUAUGUGAGGAUGAGAGCUCUGAGAGGGUGAGGGUAUGGCCUAAAAAUUGGUCUCUCCUAAUGAGAAGAGUGAUGGGUCCUUUUAUAGAAUAAGGGCUUCUCACUUAUUACAUAUUUGUCAAUUCCUUUAUUACAUAAUUACAUUUGAGUUCUCCGAGUAUUUAUAUGAGAUCUAAAUACGGAUGCCCUAAGUAUGGUACAAACAAGCACAUAAAAACUCUUCUUUCUAACUGUUGAAAUAUUAGUUUCCAGCGUUAGCUCUGGUGUGACUUCUUGAACAUAACUAAUAUUUCAUCAUGUAUCCAACAAAAAGUCAUAACCUCACGAGUCAAACCAACACAAAAUUACAAUAGGCCAAGCAAAACACUUAUUUUGCAAGUCAUGCAAACCAUUCGAGCAAGCCAAAACCAAGCAAAUAAAUUGGGAAAUCUCAAGAAAAAGUAUAAAGCAUGCUAAUAAACUUUUAAGUUAUCCUAUGCAACAUGCCAAGCAAGCUGCUCAAUGGUUUGAACAUAAUCUAUGCAUCAUGCCAAACCAAAGACAAAACUACAAAGUGUCACACAAGCUCCUCAAUUCAAGUGAUGCACAUGCAACAUGCCAACCUAAGAAAUUAAGAAUGAGAUAUGAUAAAUUACAACUUGCCAUGAAAAACCUUUCAAGCCAAACAAGUCAACCCAACCAAGACGACCGUUCCUAGUUCAUGCCAUUUAUCCAAGUCAAUUGCCAUAAAAACUUCCCCAUUUACCAUGACAACUCCUAUAAGAGUCAUUGAGCAACCUGUGGAAAAGCUUCCCCAAUUGCCUAAACUUGAGUUGUUGCAAAAUCCACCGCUGUCAUCACAUUUUUACAAGCUAUGUAACUCCAUGCUUCUAUUUCCAAGAAGAUAUCACCUUUAGCAGAAACCACAUUCAAAAUUCGUGGCCUUUCUAAUCACACUUUUUCUCCCACUUAACAUAUGUUUUAAUCCAUAUUCCAUUUUUCAUGUUUAAGCCCUGCUCCAUUGCCCGAGUUUAGUCUCUGUAACUCAACCUUCGCCUAUUGAAAAAUCUAAAAUGCACCAACUCUCAUCUGAACUUGCUAAUAAUACAUGCCAUGCAAACCAUUUGAGCCAAGCAAAUAAAGGCAAAUUUAUGCCGAGUAAAUAAAAGCUUCCCAACCAAUCAAGCUAAUCUAAGUCAAGCACAUCAAAGAAAAACCAAGCCAACCAAAGUGCAACCGGCAAAUUCCAAGGGGAAAAGGAAAAAAAUCCAUGUUCACAACAAAGCCCAAGUUGGCAUUCAAUGCUGGAGAGUGCGAAACUCGCUGCCGGAAAGUUAAAAGUCAAAAGUCAUUCAUGCUGGCCACUAUCUUAGCUAGACCUCAACCGUGUGACCUAUCUCUGCCCCAAGAGAUAAAAAAAUCAUUAAACCUUAUCUUCCACUGAUUUCAUUUCAAUACCAUGUGUUUACAGAAUCAAUCGCAUGCCUAUCUUUAAAGCAUGCUUAUAAUAUAAAUUACGAUCAAGUUUAUAUAUGCCAUGCCAUCAAUUUAUAUAAGUUAUGAUUUGGAGUGUAUUAAUUUCUUUUGUCAAGAAGGUGCAUAAGCAUGCAUAAAUUGGUUCUCCAGGCAUACUUAUCAUGCCUAAAAUCAUUAAAUAGUUAAGAAUUGCAUUGCUUGCUCUAUAGAUGAUUGCACAUAUUUUUAUUUCAUAGUUUCACUCAAUGCUUACCAUGCCCACUUAGUACGUAACGGCUCACUACAUGAGUUAACUUACAUGCUAGAAGUUUGCUCAUGUGACCAACAUAUUUGUUAAUGCUCAAAUAUAUCUUGUUAGGUCAUGUAUGGAGCUAAAACUUUCAUGAACAGCUCGAGUACUAAGCCUAAACUAUAUAUUCUCCACUACAAGCAUACAUAUUUAUUGCCAGAAAGAAGAAAACAAGCAAGCUUAUCAAUGCAAUAUGUGCAGAACCUCACACCCAGCAAGGCUAGAUAAGUUAAAUCAAACUUGUAGUGCCAAUAGCAAUCAUGCUAAUCACUCGAAGUAGGAGUGCAUACCAAUCUGUUAACCAUGCACUGAAAUGCUUUCAAAAGGCAGAAAAAAUGGUAUUUCCUGCACCAAAUGGUUCAAACAGGAGAUUUGAGUACUUUAAGCCAUGCAAGUAUGCUAAUUCAAGAAUUCCUAACUAUAUGUAUUUCAACAUAUCGAGCAAGUCCCAAGCAUUGUCAGCCUCAAGCAAUUCAAGAAAUUCAAGCAUUACAAUGGACUCAGGAAACCUUAGGCAAAAUCAACAGUGCCUACACCCUAUACCUUUUUAGGUUUGAGUUGGUUGCCAAACAUCAUGUCGAUUGUUUACUAUAACUAUUACUUCCCAGCCUAGAUUUAGUUGUUUCCCUAUCCAACUGUUUCCACUAUAGUCUUACAUGCUAAGCAGCGUCAUGCCUUCAUAUCUAAAAACCACAAUUUCCAUGAGCAACCUUUGCGAACACCCUUUUCACCAACAACUUUAUACGAACACCCUUUCUACCAACAACUUUAUGCGAACACCAUUUCCACCAACAACCAUGAGAAGCUCAUUCUCUUCAUCAUGCUCGGAGCCAUCCUCGUCGUCCCCUACAUCUAGGUCGUAGUCAGGAUAGGCUAAAUUCACCUUUUCGUAGAACUCCACGUAGCCUUGGAAGUAGAGUUUGUUGGCGAGCUCCUGACCAUUCGGAGUUUAAAAGUAGUUGUCCAUGUCUUAACCACCAACUUAGGAGGAUUCAUCCAAGUCCUUUUGCAGGCAUUCAUUCUUCUUCAUCAAAGCCUGAGCGACAUCCUUAGCCUCGCCCAACUCCAUGGUAGUCUUGAGCUUACUCGUGGAAGAUUCGCUCAACUGCUUUCUCAUGCACUUAGUCUUCAGCUGCAGUUGAGCGACCACUUUCUUAGCCACCUCAACAACCUUCUUAGUAGAUCUGAGCUUCAACUGCUUCACAUUCACGGCGUCUUGCAACCUCUUCAUGUCUCACUCGUAAUUGACGCUCUAUUUUCUCUUCUUGAAGAGGUGUCUAAGCCCUCAAAAUUAGGUGAAGAGAGCCUGCAAAGGAAAAAACAAUGAAGAUUAGCUAAAGGAAAAAUUGUAUAGAUCAUUACAUGUAUGAGGGAAACAUGGAACAUGAUGAAAGUUUACCCCAGCCUGAAGAUCGAAGGUAAGGGCCACCUGCUCAUGGGUGUCCCUUUCAAACCUCGCAUGGCAUCCACGAUGCUCUCCCCAUGAAAGACUCUCUUACGGAUGUUUAAGUAUGAGUAAAUCUCUUGGCAAAAUGUGUCCUUAAAGCGUGCGGCAAUCACGUAGGUCGGAUCUUACUUAUAAUCGCUGAGGUGAGGAAGAGCCAAUCGUCGGCCUCUUGCAGUAGGGGUGUCCGAGCCACCAGUAAUCAGGCACUUGCACAAGGAUUUGUCCAUGUCCGCACUCAGAUGAGUAAUUUAUACCACCCUUGGAAGUGGGUCGGGACUGCCAAGCUAAGUGAUUGGCCCGUUCUUACCAACACCUCAACCGGCUAUCUAAUUUCAAGCUCCACUGGGAGCGUUCUUUUUGCCCAUAGCUCGACGGGCGAUCUUUUCAACCUUAACAUCCAUCUCAACCAUUUCUCCAUCUGUAAAGUGAAAAGAAGUGUUGAAAAAAUGAGCAACAAAUAAUAUAAAUCCACCAAGAUCAUAUAUGAAGGUAUUAAGGCUUAGUUAGCUUACCUCUUAAAAGACCGAUCACUCUUAAACGAGAUUCGGUACAUAUAGCGGCAAUGGAAAGCUCUUUAGAAGGCAAGGAAGUGAUGACUGCCAACUGAAAUUCUUCUUCUUCAGAAAGAGAAACUUGGCCAGACUAAUCAACUGUGAAAAAAAAAGAUAUUUUCAUUAAAUUAGAAGACUCAUACAGACCAUGAGAUAUGGAAAGUGUUAGUUUUGUCAACCCUUGUCCCUAAAGCAUCUAGCCACUCGAGUGCCAAUCGCCUUGACCUCAGUCGAGCUCACCCAGUUACCGCUUACAAGGAAUCAGUUUUCCUUAUAGGGCCUUUCGUUUGAAGGGUUGUCGGCAAAAAUAAGCAAGAGCUAAGCAUAUGAUAGAACCCAACAUGGCCAAGACUGUUCCUCAGUUUAUAACAAUGUUUGAUGAGGGUAAGGUUGGGCUUUAUUUGAAAAUAUUGCCUCAAGAGCACGUACAUGUUAAGAAAGAAACAAAAGGCAUUGAGAUUGAUUUGGUAAGGACUAAAUUGGUGUGGACUAUAACAUAGUGAAGGAAGGAGUGUAAAGGUAGCUGAAUGCUAGACUUGAAGAGUUCAGCAGAAAAGGCUACCCAACUGUGUGACGGCUAGCUAAGUUAUUCUUCUACAACCGGUGCUCGGAUGACAACAUCGUUGGGAAUGCUAUAUCGGUUCUUCAACUCUUCCAACUAGGUUAUGAUGCUGGGAAUGUGGUCGACACUAUGGUCCCAAGCAUUAUAAUAAUUAAAAUACAGUUUUUACAAAAAGACUCUUUUAUUCCUAUGCCAACUCCUCUAUGAGGAAGAUAAGUUUGGCCAGGGCUGCUAAUUUUUUUUAGCGGUUUCCCCAGAGAUAUUUAUCAUUAAUGCAAUGGGUCAACAUCUUGUUAAGAUUUAAUCCCCCACUUGACCGAUUUCUUAUAACCCGAGGAAGAUCUAAUAAUGGUCGAAUGGGACACCGACUUAGUACAUGUACGAAAGGCUUCUACAUAUUCUUUCUAAGCCCACAAGAGGAUCUUCCUUAUCAACUAAGUCUAGCAAUUCUUUAUCCCCUAUCUCUCUAAAAGCCAUUGGGUUUGCGUCACACUUUAGGUCAUCUUCAUGGUAGCUAGAAGAUGAUUCUUCUCCAGGAACAGAUAGCUGAAAAAGGGAAUUUGGUAAGUCCACAAGUAAAGGUCGGGUUCUUGGUUGGCAGAAAUAAUUGGUAACUGAUUCGACUAGAGGUUCGUAGAAGGUAUCAAUAAAAUCAAUAAUCGGUAGAACUGGAUGUGCCACUACGACUGAUUGUUUGUAGCUGUAGGUCUCUAGGCUAUCACUUUUCGGCCCUGAAGCGGUCGACUUUGCGCGUGUGUUCAUUAUCAACUAGUAGCGCCAAGAUCUCAAAAAAAUAAAGGUGAAUCACUACAAAUUAAGGUGCACGCGCUUGGGUGAGUCAGCGCUCGUUCAAGUGAGAUAUCCCUGGCUACUUAAUCUACUUAUGUCAGGGAAGUCUACUCUAUCCUUUUCACUAAGGGUACCAGAGUUAGUCUCGUCGACGUGUGCGUGUGAUGGCAAUAAUUGGGAAUUUUAAUUCCGCUACGAAAAUAAGCAAUUACAGGAACAUGUUUUCAAUGAUUCACAAAAUACAACAAACAUAGAAAGAGGAAAUUUACUUGAAGAAGCGAUGAUGAGGGGGUAAAGUCUUAAGGAAGCAGUUUUCCAGCCACCGAAUGAAUCGCUAAGGAAAACUAACAAAGUCUCAGUAGAGAAUGUGAAGUAAAGGGAAUAAGUUAUGACUGGGGAGGUUAUAUAGACCCAAGCGUGCGAUCUCAGCCAUUAAUGAUGGAGCACUUGGUUGAAGAGAUCGUGACACGUGACAGACCAUUUACUUCGUUAUGAGAACUGAAGAGUCGUGAAGAGACAUCAUGGUGCACAAGGCCACGCCUAUUUGUUAUGUCUUUAAUAAACAGACGCCUCGAUUACUCCCCUAGUCUGUCAUUGACACUUGCAUCGAGCACCCAAAUGUCUUUUGAUUAUUGAUCUAGAUAAGGCACAUAAGGGACAUAGUCGAGCGACUAAUAGAACAAUAGGUCAAGAACACUCGAGACACUUUUUCUAAUAGAGCACAUUUGGGGUACAUGACAACCGUUGCAACUCCAUGCCCAAGAAGAAAUCAUUGACCAAGAAGUUGGGGGACUUGUUAACGCUAAGCACUUCACUGCCCACAAAAUGGUGCAGGUCAGGAAAGAAGCUACGAAAAGCCCAAAGUAAAGUCAAAGCUCAAGGAUGAUCAAGAACCCCAAGGUCCAAGGGUUUAGAGGAAGAUGUUCUCAAGCACUAAAGCCAACCGCUUACAAGCUCAGCCGACUAGGUUGUAUAAAGUACUUUCUGACUACCAGAGACACGUAGACAACCUGACAAUUUUCUAGCACAAGGUUUUACGAGCAAGUUUACUUAGAUGUCAAUUAGUCCACGUGGCGACUCACGAACAAAAGUAAAGGCUUGGGAUGAGAUAUAAAGGUGGUCGGGUUUCUACUCGGAGAGGCAGGGAUGGAUAACCAAGGCCGAGCGAGUCGCUCAAUGUGCAUCACUCUAAAAAGGCGUGCUAACUAGACUAAGAACUUGUCACUUCACCAUCAAAUACCCAAUCGAUAUGUGAAAAGGUGUCAGUAUGCUUGUCUACAUAAAUGGUUCAUUAAAUGUCAUAUUAGGGGAACCCAAGCAUUCUGAGUCAUUGAGGGAGGGCCUAUAUAAAGGGAUAGGAUCCUCUUGUAAUGGAGUCAGACAAUUGAGAAAAUAGAGGGUUCAUGUAAUUAGUUGAGCUCUUGUAGUCUUGAAAUAAUACAAUCCAAGCAACACAGUUGAUGUAGCUUAGUUUUAAAGGGUGAACCACUUAAAUAUUUGAGUUCAUUUCAUUUUAGUUAUUAUCCCAAGCCACUAAGAAUUUAUUAUUUUAAUUUGUCAACAUGCAGGUUUUAAGCGUUAAUAAUAUGUAGCUACGUUUUGGUAUCAAAAUAUCUUAAUUGGUGCAUGUUUAAAGAGAAUAGCCGAGUAGAGUCGACCCCCACUUCAACCGUUGCAUAUGCAACUUUAAGAAUAAUAGACAUAUAGGGGUGUCUAAGAGUUGGGACCAAGGAGUUUCCAAAAGGAUAAAAGAAGCAAUUAAAUAACCUACUUUUUUUUUUUUUUUUUGGCCCUAAAAUAACAUUUGCUAACUAGGCCAAGAGAUUGUUCCAAGUGAGACCUAGAGAUCUAUGGUAAGCACGAAAAAGAAAGAUCAUGAUAUCACUGGCGAAUCGAGAAUUCUAACAUUAGGUGGUCCCAAUAUAAAAGCUCUAAAAAAUAUGAAAAUAACAUGAAAAUUAAACGAUAAACUACCUAGUUUUCAUUCAUAAUCUUUGUACAAACAACAUUACAAGCUACAAAGGUUGAAUUUUUCCACAACAAGGUUUCAUACUUUGAAAAUGUGUCAUGAUAGGUUCAUUGUCAAUACAAGAAAAAAAUGAACGAUGAUGAUUUGGAACUAUCCAAAUUUGGAGUUGAACUAUCUAGAAUAGGAUUGGAACUAUUAAUGAUGAUUUUUACUUGUAAUAUCGUUCCAUACUUCUAAUUUCUACAUAUAUCAAUUAAUCAAAACAAAAAAUCAUAUCAAUUGAUGAAGCUAAAAAUAGACAUAUGAACUAACUAACACAUGAUCCAAACAAAAUAAAAAAAUCAAAACAGAUUAACAAUAGCUAUAAACUAAUCUGAAUAUAAAUUUUCCAUCUAAUACACAUCAAUUUCAACAUCCUAUAUGAUGAAUUUAGAUUAAAAUAGAAACUCACUUAAAUUCAUAAAUUAGGGGAUUAAAUGGUGGUGGAGAUUGGAGAGAAGUGAACCAGGUGGUGGUGAUCAUGGAGAGGAGACAUGUGGAGGUGUGGGGCAGCUGUUAGUGGCCCGGGUUACCCAAUUGGAGAAAGUGAAUGCAAAAUGGGAUUGGGUGGAGAUCUCGGGUAUGAGGAAAGAGAAUAGACUAUUUAUAUUUUUUAAAUUAAUAAGGAUCUCCCUCACAUGGCUUAACUGAAAACUACGUGUUUUGACUAAGUCCUUAAAAAACAGAAUAGUCUUCUUUCUCUUUCAUCAAUCAUUUGUAGAAACUGCAGCUGCUGGUCCACCGCUACACUCUUCUCCUUCACUACAUAGCCAAGCUUGGAUGGUCCUCAGAGGUCCUCAUAGCCACUUAUCCGGGCUCCGAAUGAUCUCACAACCACCUGAAUUCCUUAAUGCAUCCGCCACUGCAAAAGAUUGAACAUUAUGCAACGAACUGGGCCAGGAGAUUGUUCCAAUUGGGUUCUAUAGUACACUACCCUCCCAGCCCAUGUAAAAUCACUACUCGCCGAUUCAAGCCGAUAAUUCAACUCCAACUGAGGUAUUGCUUCAUGGGGUUUUCUCAUAUUUUGCUUUUAUUGUUCUUUUUCUUUGCCAAAAUAUGCCUAAUUUUGGACCGCAGUUUUCCCAUAUCAAACAACAGUAGGUACUAGGUCUGUAUAUUAAGUUAUUAAGCGAUUUUUCUAUAUUAAGCGAUUUUUCUAUAGGGAAACUUUUGUCCACUAAUGUACAUUUCGAAUCUAAUUAACUUAUUAAGUUAACAGUUUACUGAACUUGGAAGUUAAAUAUUUUGAAAAAAUGUUAAAUAAAUUAAAAAGUCAUCUUACAAACAAAUUACAACUUAUAUUAAAUGGUUCUACUUUUGAUUAUAUCGAGACUUUUUGCAUAAAAUCACACACCUAGUUAUUAAGCUGUGGUUAAAUGAGAAUAGUAUCAAUGAGAUUAGUAGUAGGCCGCAACCCAUCUAUGAAACUUUAACAAAAAACGGUGCCUUUCGUUUGAAGUAGAGUUUAUAGUUUGGCAGACCCGACCCUAACUAAGUUGACUAAAACAAUAUGUUACUCACUCUACACCCAAGUUCCAAUCAUCCGUCUUCAUACCUCAGAUUAGAUAAAAAUGUCGAUGACCAAAUGAUUAAAAAGGAAAAAGGAGUGGAUAGUUUCUGCAAACAUGGAUUUUUUAGAUGGAUUAAGCUUUGAUGUGGGAAAAAGUAGAAACGGUGGUAGGGAACCUUAAUAAACUUGCAGGAAAGGAGUAGGGAAGGAAUCAGAUUAACUAGCAUUGCCAAAAAGCAUCCCAUGAAUUGCUACUGCUUUGGUUUACUAGUGCUUUCUCCACACGUAUUCUUCUCCACCCUUAUCCUUUAUAUUGCGUAUUGUCAAACUUUCUUAGCGCAAUUCAUUCAAGUAAUUUCAUGUACCUCAUGUUAGAAAGAACGAAAGAUUGAAAGAUAGGCAGAGGAAGUAAGAAAAAUGGCAAAACGCUUCAAUCUGUUAAUUUUACCGCUUUUAUCGGUUAAUAUGGUUCUUUCAGGUAUUAUUUCUAGAUCAUGUCAAUUUUUCUGUUUUAUGUUUCUUUCACAAACUCCGCCUGUGUAAGUUUAUCUUACAUUGCCGGUCCCAAGCCCGGGUAAAGGAGGAGGGGGAGGGCAUCAAGUAGUCGACAGCCGGCACUCCUCAGUUACGUCGAAUCCUUAUGAAAAUGAAUCCAGAACGAAAUCGCGCUAAAGCUAGGGCGUUACCCGUAAGUGACGCACUGUGUGGCCCGAGCACAGUGAUAAGUGAGUAAGGGUCGCUGUAUCUCCAUCGGCACCUGGAUGCAGUGUUAAAUGAGUAAGGGGGCCAUAGAAACUUCUUUUCGAACGACUCCACUCAAAGUUGUUUGGAAGCAUAUGCUCCUAUCAACUUUACACAGGACACACAAAAGAAGUAAUUUGAUCCUAUUGGACGGAGGAGGGUGAAAAAGCUAGGACAGAAGGGUAGAGUUCAAGAGAGUAGAAUGCGUUUAGGAACGUGGAAUAUAGGAACCUUAACGGGAAAAUCUAUGGAAGUAGUGGAAGUUAUGGUGAGGAGAAGGAUAAAUAUUAUGUGCCUACAAGAAACUAAGUGGGUUGGCCUUAAGGCAAAAGAUCUAGAAAACUCAAGGUUUAAACUUUGGUAUUCGGGCACAAAUAGAACGAGAAACGGUGUUGGCAUCAUCGUGGACAAGACCUUGACACAAGAUGUUGUAGAUGUCAAGAGGGUAGGAGAUAGAAUCAUGGCAAUCAAGAUUGUAAUAGGACAAGAACUCAUCAAUGUGAUUAGUGCGUACACACCUCAAGUAGGGUUGGAUACGAGUUCGAAGGAGAAAUUUUGGGAAGACCUUGGAGACUUGGUGCAAGGAAUUGCCCAGACGGAGAAGUUAUUUAUAGGAGGAGAUUUAAAUGGACACGUGGGCAGGGAGACAGGCAACUAUGGAGGUUUUCAUGAUGGCCAUGGUUUUGGGGAGAGAAACGAGGAUGGGGAAGCUAUCUUGGAUUUUGCAAUGGCAUAUGAUCUCUUCUUAGCCAACACCUUCUUUAAGAAAAGAGAAGAACAUGAUCACCUACAAGAGUGGGUCGUCAAAAACACAAAUAGAUUUUCUUCUAAUGAGGAAAGGGGAUCGUAUAACUUGUAAGGAUUGCAAAGUUAUACCGGGAGAGAGCUUAACUAAUCAACAUCGCUUGUUGGUGAUGGAUGUACAUAUCAAAAGAGUGAGAAAAAAGAACAAGACUUGGAAGUGCCCAAGGACUAGAUGGUGGAAUCUAAAAGGAGAAAAACAAGCCAUUUUCAAAGAGAAAGUAAUCACCUAGUGUGUGUGGGAUAGAGAGGGGGAAGCUAGCCAAAGGUGGGAUUUCAUGGCUAGUUGUAUCCGAAAAGUAGCAAAAGAGGUAUUAGGAUAGUCCAAGGGCUUUGCUCCACACCAAAAGGAAUCUUGGUGGUGGAAUGAGGAGGUACAAACAAAGGUGAAGGCUAAAAAGGAAUGUUGUAAAGCCUUAUACAAGGACAUGAUCGAUGAAAAUGGUGAAAGGUAUAGAAGAGCGAAGCAAGAGGCGAAGAAAGCUGUGAGAGAAGCUAAGUUAGCGGCUUAUGACGAUAUGUAUAAGCGACUAGAUACCAAAGAACGAGAGUUGGAUAUCUAUAAACUAGCUAGAGCAAGGGAAAAAAAGACAAGGGACCUAAACCAAGUGAGAUGCAUCAAGGAUGAGGAUGGAAAGGUUCUUGCUACAGAGAACGCGGACAGAUGGAGAGGUUAUUUUCAUAAUCUUUUCAAUGAAGGACAUGAAAUGAGUACUUCUUUAGGGAAGUUGAGUAACUCAGAAGAGUGUAGAAACUACUCUUUUUAUCGUCGAAUUAGGAAGGAAGAAAUGGUUAGAGCUUUGAAGAAGAUGAAGCAUAGAAAAGCAGUGGGCCCAGACGAUAUACCGAUCGAAGUAUGAAAGUCUUGGGAGAGACAGGUAUAGCAUGGCUCACUGACCUUUUCAAUAGGAUUUUGAAAACGAAGAAGAUGCCAAAUGAGUGGCGAAAGAGCACUUUGGUGCCUAUCCAUAAGAAUAAGGGCGACGUACAAAAUUGCAUGAACUAUAGGGGUAUUAAGCUAAUGAGUCAUAUAAUGAAGCUCUGGGAGAGAGUCAUUGAGCAUAGAUUGAGGCAAGAGACACGGGUUUCGGACAACCAAUUCGGGUUCAUGCCAGGGCGCUCAACCAUGGAGGCAAUCUAUCUCUUACGAAAAUUGAUGGAAAGAUGUAGAGAUGAGAAAAAGGAUUUACACAUGGUCUUUAUAGAUUUGGAAAAAGCGUAUGAUGGGGUCCCAAGAGACAUUCUUUGGAGGAUUUUAGAGAAGAAAUGAGUACGAGUAGCAUAUAUCCAAGCUAUAAAGGAUAUGUAUGAAGGAGCAAAGACUGCCGUAAAAACUCAUGAAGGACAAACCGAAAGCUUCCCCAUAACGGUAGGAUUACAUCAAGGCUCAUCCUUAAGUCCUUAUCUUUUUGCGUUGGUAAUGGAUGAGUUAACAGGAUAUAUUCAAGAUGAUAUUCCUUGGUUAUGCUUUUCGCAGACGAUAUAGUGUUGAUAGAUGAAACUCAGAAAUGGGUAAAUGCGAAGCUUAACCUUUGGAGAGAAGUGUUGGAAUCUAAAGGUUUUCGCCUAAGCCGAUCAAAGACAGAAUAUAUGGAGUGCAAGUUCAGUGCAAAUGGAGGCCAAAAUGAGUUAGGGGUGAGGAUCGGAGAUCAGGAAAUACCAAAGAGCGAUCGUUUUCGCUACUUAGGAUCUAUCUUGCAAAAGAACGGAGAAUUAGAUGGAGAUCUCAACCAUAGAAUACAAGCUGGAUGGAUGAAGUGGAAGAGUGCAUCCGCCGUGUUGUGUGACCGUCGUAUGCCACUGAAGCUCAAGGGAAAAUUUUAUAGGAUGGCAAUAAGGCCAGCGAUGCUGUAUGGCACAGAAUGUUGGGCGGUGAAGCAUCAACACGUACACAAAAUGGGUGUAGCGGAGAUGAGGAUGCUUCGUUGAAUGUGUGGGCACACGAUAAAUGAUAAGUUUAGGAAUGAGGAUAUCCGAGGUAAAGUAGGAGUAGCCGAAAUUGUAGGAAAGCUGAGAGAAAAUCGGUUACAGUGGUUUGGACAUGUGCAAAGAAGGCCUACUGAUGCUCCGGUUAGAAGAUACGACUACGGGACAGAGGUUCAGGGCCGAAGGGGUAGAGGAAGACCUAGGAAAACUUUGGAAGAGACUCUAAGAAAAGACUUAGAGUACUUGGAUCUAACGAAAACAUGACACAUGACCGAGCACAAUAGCGUUUUAAGAUUCAUAUAGCCGACCCCACCCAGUGAAGAAGGCUUUGGUAUUUAACACAAUACGUUAAAAUGAAGUAAAGCUUAUUUAUUGAUAUCUCCGAUAAGUUACAAAUAUGUACAUAUACAUGAGUCAAAAUAAACAAACAAGAGAGAGCCUUCACAAAGGUUGCUUAGGAGAAAUCUCAUCAGUCGGUAGAGCCCCAGAAAGAGAAGACACCGGAGGGGGAUCAUUCGGAGCCUCAGUACUGGACAGAACCCUAGAAGGAGGAGGCAUCAGAGGUUGAUCAUUUGGAGCUUCAUUACGCGGUACAGCCCUAGAAGACGAAGGUAAUAAAUGCCUUUGGAACAAACCCACAAACCGCUGAUGAUCAAGUAAAACCUGACCAUCAUAUUCUUUCAUAUGGUCAAGCUUCAUCUUCAUGUUUUUAGCAUAGUCAUGUGCGAGCCGGUGCAACUGUUUAUUCUCAUGCUUGAGCCCUCUAAUCUUCUGUUUGAGACUCAUCACUUCAGCCGCCAAUGAUUCAACUUGGCGGGUUCGAGUAAAUAGGCGUUGAGCCAUAUUAGACACAGAACCUGCACACUGAACACUCAGAGCCAGAGAAUCCUUAACAGCCAACUCAUCAAACCGUUUGGAAAGUAGUCUGUUAUCUUUGGGAGUGAGAAGGUUCCUGGCCACCACCGCAGCGGUCAUAUCAUUCUUCAUCACGGAAUCCCCAAUGGUAUGAGGACCAGUAGGGGAUAAGAAGGAUGGGCGCCAUAUGUUGUCUGGAGAAGGCGUGGCUGCCUCUUCAACAAGGUUCAAGUCAAAACGACGGUCGGAUGGGCCAGACAUUUUCAAAGGUGUUGAAGAGAGAAGAGGUCGGACAAAGAUCUUAGAAGUGCAAGAAGGGAGCUUCUACUGGUGGAGAUUCAAGUGUUCUUUGGAACUUAAUGCCAGCCUCAAUAAAAUCUGCACUCGACGGACCUUCAGAAAUCGAAGAGGCGUUUGCUUUCUCAAAAGCUGGGCUGUUCAGAGACCACGAGGGCUGAUCUCAGAAAUCGAAGAGGCGUUUGCUUUCUCAAAAGCUGGGCUGCAAAGACCAUGAAGGCCGAUCUCAGAAAUCGAAGAAGCGCUUGCUUUCUCAAAAGUUGGGUUGCUCAGAGACCACGAGGGCCUAUCUCAGAAAUCGAAGAGGCACCUGCUCUUUUCAGCCUUGUCAGCACCUGUCACAUGCACACUCAGCUUUGCUGAAAUUACGGGCAUUCUGUUGAAGUAGAAAGCACGUGAAUCUUACUGUUCAAUCAUCCACUUUCCACACGCACCAUCAGCUCAUGGGUACCACAUAUAACUUUGCCAAAGAUCUCUGUCAAAGUUUAGACACGUGAAGCUUGCAGCUCCCACUACAUCGCUAUGACCAAGAAGGGUAAAAGAAUAGCAAAGAAACAGCACUAACAAAGUUUAGACACAUAAAUUUUGACGGUCUAGCUACCAUAUUAUUACCCACAAGGGUAAAGGAACAUCACCACUGCUAGAUAAUUGGAAAGUCCAUAUGAGUCAACCUCUGUGUGUUGUGGCAAGGUAGACUAGCAAACAUGCCCAACCUUUACUCACAUUCGAGAAAACACUCCCAACAAGAUUGCUUGCUCCAAAAUCGAAGAGGCACCGUCCUCCGAAUCUCGAGAGCCAGACUCCCAACAUGAUUACUUUCUCAAAAAUUGAAGAGACACCGCUAUCUGAAUCUCGAGAGCCAGACUCCCAGCAGGAUUGCUUUCUCAAAAAUCAAAGAGGCAUCGUUCUCCGAAUCUCGAGAGCCAGAUCCUCAACAGGAUUGCUUGUUCGAAAACCGAAGAGGCACCGUUUUCUCAACUUCGAGAGCCAGAUCUCCUUGGAUAAAGCUUGUCUGUAAUCUUCACACUCAACAUCAGCUUUCCAGAUACCACAGACCACUUUUUCAAAGUGCUCUAACACACGUGAAGCUGGCAGCUCCCACUACCGUGCUAUGACCAAGCAGGGUAAAUGAAUAGCAUUACUACUUGUUGUUAGGGAGACUCCUAUAUAUGUCGACCUCCAUCCUCAACGGAUAGGCAGACCUGCAAAAAUGCUCAACCCUUCCUCAUAUCUGAGAGGGCACUCCCAACUAAGCCUCUCGAAAUACUCAGCUUUCUUUCCUCCCGAUAAUACCUCUGCAAACAAGAUACACCAGAGCAAGAAUAUCUCAUAUCAUCAGGGUUAAAAGCAAGAGUAUCUCAUAUCAUGCUUUUUCCCUGUCUUUUCCUUUGACCUUGUUCUUACCUGCAAGACAAGGAGAAAGAGAGCAAUCAGGCAGCACUUGGAAUCAAGCUUCCAGUCAGGAACUGACUGCCUAGAACCCCUUACCUGAUUACUUACCUGACAUUGCUCUCGAGUACUCAUCUUCAACAUCUUAUGCUUCCAGAAAAGAUACCACAUCUGCCUGAGGAAUAGAUAGGGAAAGUGAGAAUGAUACAAGGAAGCAUGUGGAGACAAGCGUAACAGAACAGGUGCCGAUACAUCCACUACUUUGUCAACAGCAAAAGUAUCCCAUAUCAGCAGGGUCGAACGUACUCUAGAUUUGAUGGACUUGUUUUGACCCUCAAAUUCUUCAGUCGGCCUUAUACUCUGGAGGAAACCAGAAAACCCUCCAGCCCAGUUCAAGAAUAAGCCUGUGGAAAGUUACUUCUUCAAAAGCAAAAGUAUCUCAUAUCAUCUAUUCUCCUUUUUCUUCUCUUUAUUCUUCAUGCUGCCUGCAAGAUAGGGAGAAUGAGAACAAUCAGCCGAAACUCGAAAUCAAACUUCUGAUCUGGGACUGAUUGCUUGGAGCUCUGAUUGCUUACCUUGUCUGUCACCUCUUUCAGCAGAUCCCCUAGCUCGGCAACUUGGGGAACUCCUACUACAUGGUUUGUAUCGCGCUUGACCAAGCCUGAAACUACAAGUAAGCUUCAAGUGAAAUUGAUACAUUACCUUGUGCAUUUCCACCAGUUAACGAUACCACCCUUGGAUGGAGGAAGAGUACUUCCAGAGAAGAUGCCACAUCUACCUAUGAGACAGAUAAGGCAAGUGAAGACGAUACCACACUUUGGUACUUAGAAGUUUCGUGAUUACGAGAUCAUUCUCCCACACUAUUUUCUAAUGUCAUUUGUACUAAAUCAUUCACUUGUACUCACUAAAGGAGAGCUUGAACCUAUGUAUUGUGUAAACCUUUCACAAUUAAUGAGAACUCCUCUAUUCCGUGGACCUAGCCAAUCUGGGUGAACCACGUAUAUCUUGUGUUUGCUUUCCUGUCUCUAUCCAUUUACAUACUUAACCACACUAAUGACCAGAGCAAUCUAGCAAAGAUCACAAACUUAUUACUUUCUGUUGUGCCAAAGUCCUCACUAAUUUUGUGCAUCAACAAUCCUUAAGUCCUUACCUUUUUUGCGUUGGUAAUGGAUGAGUUAACAGGACAUAUUCAAGAUGAUAUUCCUUGGUGUAUGCUUUUCGCAAAUGAUAUAGUGUUGAUAGAUGAAACUCAGGAAGGGUAAAUGCGAAGCUUAACCUUUGGAGAGAAGUGUUGAAAUCUAAAGGUCUUCGUCUAAGCCGAUCAAAGACAGAAUAUAUGCAGUGCAAGUUCAGUGCAAAUGGAGGCCAAAAUGAGUUUGGGGUGAUGAUCGGAGAUCAGGAAAUACCAAAGAGCGACCGUUUUCGCUACCUAGGAUCUAUCUUGCAAAAGAACAGAGAAUUAGAUGGAGAUCUCAACCAUAGAAUACAAGUUGGAUGGAUGAAGUGGAAGAGUGCAUCCGGCGUGUUGUGUGACCGUCGUAGGCCAUUGAAGCUCAAAGGAAAAUUUUAUAGGACGGCAAUAAGGUCGGCGAUGCUGUAUGACAUAGAAUGUUGGGCGGUGAAGCAUCAACACGUACACAAAAUGGGUUUGGACAUGUGCAAAGAAGGCCUAUUGACGCUCCGGUUCAAAGAUGUGACUACGUGAUAGAGGUUCAGGGCCGAAGGGGUAGAGGAAGACCUAGGAAAACUUGGGAAGAGACCCUAAGAAAAGACUUAGAGUACUUGGAUCUAAUGGAGUACUUGGAUCUAAUGGAGGACAUGACACAAAACCGAGCGCAAUGGCGUUCUAUGAUUCAUAUAGCCAACCCCACUUAGUGGGAAAAGGCUUUGUUGUUGUUGUUGUUGUUGUUGUUGUUGUUAUGUUUCUUUCACAAUUUGUAUGGAUAAUGACAGUGAUUAGAAUUUAGUAUCGGUUCUUUUGUAAUCAAGCUUGAAUCCUACAAUAUGAUCGAAAUUUGAAAUAUUAAUCUGUCACGUCCUUGGAGUAAAUUAAAGUGUGGAAAAAAUUAGCAACCCUUCUAGUUAAUUUGUUUCAUGUCAAAUUUUAGAGCAAUUGGUUUCUUGGAUGUUUGAAGGACCAAAGUUAUCCGAGUCUGCUAGAACUUUCACCAUUAUAAACAAUUGCAAAGAGACAGUCUGGCCUGCAGUUACCCCUGGGGACAACUUAUGGUGGUGGCUUUGUGCUAAAACCAAGCCAGUCAAUGGUGUUCACUGCCCCGGUUAGCUGGUCUGGCAGGAUAUAAGGUCGAACACGCUGCAACUUUGACAAAAAUGGCAAUAGCUCGUGCGAGACCGGGUCCUGUGGCAGCACCCUCCAGUGUGUAGCCUCAGGAAAGCCCCCAGCAACACUUGCCGAAUUCACAUUGGCUGCACUAGACUUUUAUGAUGUGAGCCUUGUUGACGGGUUCAACUUGCCGUUGGUUGUGACACCUCUAAAUUGUACGGGAAACUGAAGUGUAUCUGGUUGUGACGGGGACCUAAGACCAAAUUGCCCGAAUGAGCUAGCUGUGAAGGCCAAUGGGAAGAAAGUUGGAUGCAGAAGUGCGUGUGAUGUGUUCGACACAGAUGAGUACUGCUGCCGAGGGAGUUAUGGCAAUGCUGUUGUGUGUAAACCCACAUAUUAUUCCAAGAAGUUCAAAGAAGCAUGCCCUACUGCCUACAGUUAUGCUUAUGAUGAUCUGAGCAGUAUCUUUACUUGCUCAGGCACAAAUUAUGUCGUUGCUUUCUGCUCAACCAGGUUUGUCAUCAGCGAAUUACAUGCACUAAAAACUGUUUUAGAUCUCUCUUUGGAAUUUGGAUGCAGUGAUUAUAAAAUCGAGGGUCUAAGUAAGAAAAGAUUUUGAACAUUGAAAUUUGAUUCUCUUGCCAAAUAUAUGUCCGCUGUCGCAGGUGCGCGCUUUGCAAACAAAAGUUUAUCAAUGUUUUAGCAUUUUCUAUCCCAUUUUUUUCUUGUGGUGUAAGUUAUCCACUUUAUUGUUGUUUAUAUAUGCAGGAAGCAACAGGUGUGCACAUAUCACCACCACAAGCUUGUGUGUGGUAAUGGAUCUGGAUCAGUAGGUUCAAAGUCACUGAGAUUGUGGGCUGUGAUGAUUGGAUUGUUGAUGAUGAUUAAUCAAUGGAUUAAUUUUUAAAAAAUAAGUUGUUUAUUCCUCUCUAACUGUAGAGGUGUGUUUUACAUCCCCUUUGAACUUAGAAGCAGUACUUAAAAGAAUGUCUUUUUUCAAGAGUUGUCCAUGCUGGUUGGUUGUACAAGAUGAAGUUGUUCAUUUUAUUCUUUUCUUUUCAAAAAGAGAGAAUAUAGUUUAAUGUAGUUGCUUUACACAAACUUUGUAUGUCUCCAAUAUACGGUAGAGUGUUUUUGUAAAAAGUUGUGAGUAUAAUCAGCUUUGAAAUAAAUCAGUUAAUUAUUUAGUAAAAUUUUCUGUAAAAGUGUUAUGAUUAUAAAAAGAAUGUUAAAGUAUUUGAUAAAUUUUUUGUCUAAAGUUGUUGUAAUUGUCUAUAAUAACCAAAAAGGACAUUGAUUUUAAUUUUAUUUUUCAUUAAACUAAUUAAAAUAUGGAAAUAUAUUAAAAAAAUAUCAAAGAGAAAUUUUAUUUGAAUCAUGUAACCUCUUUCUACAUCCAAUUUACUCUCUUCACCCAUAUUAUUUUUUUAUUAAAGAAUUAAUCUUUCUUUAAACCCAAAUCUAUUACCAAAAUUACUCUCUCAAACCUAAUUCAAAAUGUUAAAUUAUCUUUACAUAAAAUUUGAAGAAGAAAAACUAGAACAUGAAAUUAAAAUUAAAUUAAUUCCAAGCAGACCCACCCCACCCAUUCAAACCCCCACCACGACCAGAUCACCCAUCCAAACAACCACCACGACCAGACCACAAACCACCACCACGACUAGAUCAUCCAUCCAAACUGCCAUCGCGACCAGACCACCCAACGUAGCUCCUCCCCUCGCCUAAUGGCCCUAACCCAUUUCCACAAACUCGCAGCCACCACAUUGGCGUGCCCAUCUCAAUUAACCAAAGGAUUUCGAUCUCAUGAGAUAGCAAGCUCAAGCUUGGAGGAGACGGCGAGGAGAAAGAAGGGGGACGAUGCAUAGAAAAAGAAAGGAAAACUAAUGAAAAGGGUUUGAAAAUUUUGAGUUUUAAUAAUAAGGACAAAAUAAAGGGUAAAGUGAAUAGUACCAGGAUUGAUUUUUUAAUGUAAAAAUGUGAUUUUUCGUUAAAGUGAACAGUACCAAAUGCUUUUCGUUAAAGUUCUCUAGAAAGAAAGGGUAGGAUUGCCAUUAAAAAUUCAUUAAAUAGUCACUGUUCAUCAGCGUUUUAGAAAAAAAAAAAAAAAAAAAAGCCUAUUUUCAAAGCAUGUUUUUGCUGCUUCUGCUUGGCUUCGAAUGGGCCUUACACUGUUCACCAGCGUUUGAGAAAGAAAAAUGUUUUUGUUUACAAACAUAUAAUACAGCCCAGCUUUUUUUUCAGACCUGCUUUUGAAAAAAAUUAGGCAUUUCCAAACUAAUGGAUUUGGAUUCUCGCUGGAUCCCCUCCUUGGGGAUUCUAGGGAUCAAUGAACAAGAACUGUUGAUAAAAAAUCAUGCCGUCCUAAUUAAAUGCUUUUUAUAUUUGUAAAAGUAAAGCAGCAUCAUUUUGCGUGAAAUGUAAAUAAAAAAGAAAAAAUUGUGGUCGCACGAUUUUUGAUCAACGAUCCGUGUUUGUUGAUCCCUAGGAUCCCUAGGGAGGGGAUCCGACGAGGAUCCAAAUCCGUCCUAAGUCUUUCAAAUGAAUAAAAUCAACAAAAUCUUGCGAACGACUACUUCAUCAAAGGUGGUCCUAUGUAGAAAUCUUAUGGAUAACAGUUUUUGAUUAAUUAAAAAGGAUGAAUCAUAAAAGACCUGAGUUUGGCCAUACUCUCUGAACCCAAGUUCGAAUCUCAUAAAUUCAAUGUUAUUAUCCUGUUGGUUGUUAAACAAAAGGUAGGAUCUUUAGUCAGGUUGGGUCUAAUAAACUCAGACCUAAAGUCCCAUACCACUUCGAUGUGUUUAGUUCGAUCAUAUUGAAUCAGAUUGUGAAUAAUAUAAAUCGCUUAUUUUAUUAUCAGUAUACAAUGGCAUGACAGUAGAGAUGGGCAAAAUAUCCACAGGUAUGGAUAACCGUGGUUACCGUUCAUUUAAAAUUCACGGUUACGGUUAUGGCUAACCGUUGAAACAAAUAAACAGUUAUAGGUAUAACUGUUUAUCCAUGAAAUUUAAAUGGAUGAUUAUGAAUAUUACUGACGGUUACAAACAAGUACCCAUUUAACCAUUUAUUUAAUAUUUAUAAAAUUAAAAAAAUUUAAAAUUAAAAACAUAAAAACUAUUCGAUAUCUCCCAAGGAAGAAAAUAUCGGUAAUAUCGGAAAUAUCGGUAGUCUGAAAACACGAAAAUAUCGAUGGAAAUAUUGGGAUAAUAUCGAUAUCGAUAAAAAUUACAUGGAAACCACGGAAAUUGUAAGAAAAACUUGGAAAUUUUUAUUGAAACUUUGCAGGAUGUUUAUUUAGUUAAUUAUCUAUUAGUUUAUCACAAAAAAUUGGAAAGAAAUGCAUUGCAUGAUGGAUUUAACAUUAUCAAGUUGAUUAUAUAACGAGCUGGCAAACAUUGUGAGUGUAGAAAAUAUGUAGUAAUUAAUGAAAGAAGUUUAAACACACCAUAAUCAUUUAUAUAUAAUGAAUUAGUACAAUAUUUUACAUUUUAUACAUUGCAUGAUAUUAACAAUUUAAUGCUCAUUUGUACAACUAAAUAUAUGCAACUCGACAAGAUUUAGACAUGAGUGAGUGAGAAACAAAAAAAAGAGGGGCACAUAAGAUCUAAGAGAGGAAUUUUAGGAGAAUUUAGACAUAGUCAUGAAGAAAUAAAUCACAAAAAGAUAGAUAUGCGAGAUUAGAAAUGCAACACGUGAGGGAUUUGCAAAUGACUGCUUAAAAUGAGUCAUUAACAAAUUUCUUUUACAUAUAUUUUGUAAUGUUCAUGUGAUACAUUUCUAAUUCCUCAUAUUUAACUUUGUGCGACAUAUUUCUUCUUCAUUUGCCUAAAAUGCAUGCCUUGUAGUUUGGGAGUCUCUCACCCAAACAUACAUGUAGUAUUGGGUGUGGUAACUAUUUGUAAUAACUUUUUAUAGUGGAAACUCAACUUCCUUUAAUAUGCAAGCAUAUAUGCUCCAGAUCCAUGAAGAAAACUAAGGUUUCAACCCCAAAAUUAAUUGGCAAUAAGAGUUAUGACACAACUCCUAAUAAACUUUGUGAGGAAUUUCUUAAUUAACUCUCCGAUUUGGAACUUUUCUUACAUCCAUGCAGUAAGAUGAGGAAAAAAGAACGUUGCUUCUAGUAAAAAUUCCUUAGUUUUAUAACAUCAUACAAGAUUAGAACCAUUACCAACACAAGUUGAGCAUCAUUACUAACAAAACAAAUAUUUAUUGUAUUUUGUAUUGACAACUUAUUAUCUUGGUGAUCAAUGAUGAAAUUACAGUAAAAAGAAAGAGGGAAGGAACUGACUAAAGCAGCAUCAUAAUAACCCUUCCCAAUUUGAGCUAGCAUUCGCAGGAAGUAAUGGUUACAAUAUAAACCUGGCAUGAUAAUAACCCUUCCCACAUCGGCUGUGCAAUAAAACUGAGCAAGCAAACAGUCUAUAAAAGAUUGUUUUCAUCCCACAUCGGCUGUGCAAUGGAAGUGAGUAACCAAACAAGUCUAUAAAAGCUACAUUCCAAAACUGAUGAAGACAGUCUUUUCUCGGUCUUUUGGCUAAGAUUAGAUGUGCUAUCUGAUCUUGUUAGUUUAAUAUUUUUAGUACUUUUGAAAUAUCGCGAUAUUAUCGGUAAUAUCGCGAUAUUAUCGGUAAUAUCGCGAUAUUAUCGAUAAUAUCGCGAUAUUUUGAUGAAAUUUUUUGGAUACUUAUUAAUAUAUCGGUGAAGCAAAAAAACGAUAAUAUCGGCGAAAUAUCGCCGAUAUUAUCGAUAUUUAAAUCCUUGAUCUCUCCCAUACUCCCAUUGCCGCUCAUCUCUCUCAUCUCCGCCUCUCUCUCAUCUCCUGCAUGAAUGUAUUAGGCUUUACGGCUUUUGCAUCACCAACCCCACUGCCCACUAAUUACCAUUUCUAGACAAUAAUAUUAGGUUUUUUUAGGGACAAAGCAAACAAGUCAUCACUCAUCACGAACGCUCCAUUUUUGGAAGCUUCAAAAAAGCCCUCCGUCUAAGUUUAUGUGGGUCUGCUUCUCUGCUGUUGUCCCUUUAAAUGAGAGGCUCAAGUUCUCUGAUCUGCAUUUCAUACAAAUUUCUUUUUUAAUUUUUAACUUGUUAAAAAAUGGGUAAAACAAGGGUAAAUGUUAGGAUGCUAGAUGGCAUCAUCUUGUGGUGACAGUUAGAGUUGAGUAUUAGUAUAAAUAGUACAUUGUAAGAGAGGAAAAGGGGUUAAUGAAAUGAUAUUGUUGUUCUGUUACUAUCUCUCUGUGCAAUUAUAGAAGAUGUGGAGCUAGGUUCUAACAUUGGUAUCAGCGCCUAGGUUCCCGAUGCUGCUGAGGGGGCAACCUGGAAAGGGCCACCUUAACGGGACGACCAAGGGGUGCGUCGGUGUUCAGAGUGAAAGCCACCAGAGUAAGGGCCGCCGUGGGCAUCGGCUUCCAAAAUGUGGUGUAAUGUUAUGAUCCCACAUCGACUACACUUAUAGAGAUGUAGAGGUUCUUAAGUUCUUGGGGUCCUCCCACCUAUUGGACUAGUCUUUUGGGUUAGGCUAUUCCCUUAGGCUUGAGUACCUAAUAUUGGUAUCAGAGCCUAGGUUCCCGACGCUGCGGAAGGGGCGACCUGGAAAGGGCUACCUUAACGGGACGACCAAGGGGUGCGCCGUUGUUAAGAAUGAAAGCCACCAGAGUAAGGGCCGCCGUGGACGUCGGCUUCCCGAAGGGUGGUGUAAUGUUAUGAUCCCAUAUUGACUACACUUAUGGGGGUGUAGGGGUUCUUAAGUCCUUGGGGUCCUUCCACCUAUUGGACGAGUUUUUUGGGUUGGGCUAUUCCCUUGGGCUUGAGUACCUAAUAGUAAAUGGGUAAACGGGUAUGCGGUUAUGGUUAAACAAGUAUACGAUUACGGUUAAAUGAGUAUGCGGUUAUGAGUACGGUUAACCGUUUGUAAAUGGUUAUAGAUAUGGGUAUACCUAUUUAUGCAAUUACCCAACGGGUAAACGGUUAUGCAGGUAAGGACUUAAACGGUUAUAGAUAAAUAACCGCAAUUAUCUGUCCGCCAUAACUGUUGACCAUCCCUCGCAUGAGGUUUUAAGCUUAAACCUCAAUUUUAUCAUUAGCACAUUUCAUGUUUUGUCCAUAAUAACUCAUAAAUACAAUGUGGUAUAUACCUCGAUGCUCAAUCUAACAACAAAAUCUUGUUUUUAGUUCGUCAAGUGACAAUAUUACCUCCAACAAAUAUAAGUAGUUCAAUGUUGAAUGUCGAAUCAAUCCCAAUUUGCAUGUGUCCCGAUAAUAUCAAGAUGUCCAAGCUUCAAAAUUAUUGUGACCUAUAAUUAACUGAGAGAAUGAGAGGGGUGCAGAAAAGAGAAAGAGUGGAGAGAUUGUAGAAUGCUUAAGAAUUCUUAUGUUCUAUUUCGGCCUUUAUUAAUAGUAAAAUAAGAGGAAAGAAUUAACUUGCCUUCCAAAUAAAUACAAUCAUAAAAAUAAAAAAUAAAAAAAUAAUAAUUAGAAUAAUAAAUAAUUUAGAAACCAAAUCUAUUUAAAAUUUACAUAAUCAUACAAUUAAAGAAUAUCCAUAACAGGAACGAAACAAUUAAGGGGCCUUACUCUCGAACACAAAAAAUAAAAUGGCGGGAGGUGGAAAGCUCCCCUUGAAAGUGUUCGAAUCGUAUAAACCUAUUCCAAUUCCUCUUUCGCUUUUUCAUAAUUUUUUUAUAAACUCAAUCAAAUUGUUGGGAACUUUUUUUCCCUUUAACGUUAAGUAGCCCCUUUCACCGACGUGCUGAAAUUCGCUGCCGACGAAUUCAAAGUGCCUCCCCAAACCAGCGCUACCAUCACCAACGGUAAUUCGAUUUCUGGGCUUUUGCAUGUUGCUGUACAUUUCGGUUGUCUCGUGAAGUCUGUGACUUUCCGAAUUGAUGAUUUAUGUGUGACCGCAAAUUUCGAUUGAUUGUUUGUGGGGUUUAGGGCAUUGAUCGGAAUCGAAUUAGGGUUUUUGGUUUUUGGUAAGUGGGCAUCCCAUUUUUCAUAUCCGAGGUAUGAGAUUGCAAUACGCUUAUGAAGAUUAUAUCUUGUGGUCUUUUUUAUUGACAACUCGAAUUUAUAAUUCAUCUAGAGCAUAAGUGGUAUAAACUCGAAUAAAGAUCGAAUUUUGAAUUUAGGGAAUGUAUAGAGCGACUUUACAUAAGUGCACUUUAGAAUUUCUAUAGAAUGUUUGAACAGUUCAUAAUUUUUCUUCAUUGCCACCACGUAACGGUAUCUCAGUCCUUUUCCCUUUGAGGACAACAAGCUUUGCUUUGUUAGCUUAAUUACUAUAUGAUUCCCAUAUCCUAAGAGAUCAAAACAGAAAUUAGAAGAAAUUGAUAAUAACAAAAGUAAAUGUAUGUCAAUAUCAUAGGGAAGAAUAUUAAGAAAGGAAAGAUGAUACAGUAUCUUGGAAGACAGUGUAGAUUUUAUACUUAUACAGUGGGCUCUGCAAGACCUCUUAAUUUUCAGGAUAUCACUGCCUUCGGUGUUGAAAUUUUGUUGUUUAUUUCUUCUCACUUUUGUGCAGAUGGUGUUGGAAUCGAUCCUCAGCAAAGUGCAGGUCUGCCAAUGCUUUACCUUUAUUUCUCUUUUCUGUUCUCCAUUUAUGUUUUUGCUAUUGUAUAAUUUUGUAUCCUAAAUUCCUUAUCAGCAAUUUAGACGCACUAUAUAGAUUUACCCUACCAACCUUCUCUCCGUAGAAUUAGUCUUCAUAACAUUAGUUCAACAACAACAACAACAACAACAACAAAGCCUUUUCCCACUAAGUGGGGUCGGCUAUAUGAAUCCUAGAACGCCAUUGCGCUCGGUUUUGUGUCAUGUCCUCCGUUAGAUCCAAGUACUCUAAGUCUUUUCUUAGAGUCUCUUCCAAAGUUUUCCUAGGUCUUCCUCUACCCCUUCGGCCCUGAACCUCUGUCCCGUAGUCACAUCUUCGAACCGGAGCGUCAUUCGGCCUUCUUUGCACAUGUCCAAAUCACCGGAGCCGAUUUUCUCUCAUCUUUCCUACAAUUUCGGCUACUCCUACUUUACCUCGGAUAUCCUCAUUCCCAAUCUUAUCCUUUCUCGUCGUGUGCCCACACAUCCCACGAAGCAUCCUCAUCUCCGCUACACCCAUUUUGUGUACGUGUUGAUGCUUCACCGCCCAACAUUCUAUGCCAUACAACAUCGCUGGCCUUAUUGCCGUCCUAUAAAAAUUUUCCCUUGAGCUUCAGUGGCCUACGACGGUCACACAACACGCCGGAUGCAUUCUAACACUUCAUCCAUCCAGCUCGUAUUCUAUGGUUGAGAUCUCCAUCUAAUUCUCCGUUCUCUUGCAAGAUAGAUCCUAGGUAGCGAAAACGGUCGCUUUUUGUGAUCUUCGCUAGAUUGCUCCGGUCAUUAGUGUGGAUAAGUAUAUAAAUGGAUAGAGAUAGGAAAGCAAACACAAGAUGUACGUGGUUCACCCAUAUUGGCUACGUCCACGGAAUAGAAGAGUUCUUAUUAAUUGUGAAGGGUUUACACAAGUACAUAGGUUCAAGCUCUCCUUUAGUGAGUACAAGUGAAUGAUUUAGUACAAAUGACAUUAAGAAAUAUUGUGGGAGAAUGAUCUCGUAAUCACGAAACUUCUAAGUAUCGGAGUGUGGAGUCGUCUUGACUUGCCUUAUCUGUCUCAUAGGUAGAUGUGGCAUCUUCUCUGGAAGUACUCUUCCUCCAUCCAGGGGUGGUAUCUUUAACUGGUGGAGAUGCACAAGGUAAUGUAUCAAUUUCACUUGAAGCUUACUUGUAGUUUCAGGCUUGGUCAAGCGCGAUACAAACCAUGUAGUAGGAGUCCCCCAAGUCGCCGAGCUAGGGGGUCUGCUGAAAGAGGUGACAGACAAGGUAAGCAAUCAGAGCUCCGACUGAUUGUUCACCUUCUCCCCAUCUUGCAGCAGCAUGAAGGAUAAAGAGAAGAAAAAUGAGAAGAGAUGAUAUGAGAUACUUUUGCUUUUGAAGAAGUAACUUUCCACAGGCUUAUUCUUGAACUGAGCUGGGUUUUCUGGUUUCCUCCUAAGGUUGAAGAAUUGAGGGUCAAAAAGUCCAUCAAAUCUAGUACGUUGAAUAUCUACAGAGUAAUGGAUGUAUCGCGUGUGCUGUUACGCUUGUCUUGUCCACAUGCUUCCUUGUAUCCUUCGCACUUGCCCUAUCUGUUCCUCAAGCAGCAGCAUGCAGAAUCUGUUCUUCCUGGAAACAAGUAAGAUGUUGAAGAUGAGUACUCGAGUGAGCAAUGCCAGGUAAGUAAUCAGGUAAGGGGUUCCAGGCAGUCAGUUCUUGGCUGGAAGCUUGAUUCGUAUUCCAAGUGCUGACUGAUUGCUCUCUUCUCCUUGUCUUGCAGGUAAAAACAAGGCCAAAGGAAAAGACAGGGAAAAGCAUGCAUAUAUGGGAUACUCUUGCUUGCUUUUAACCCUGAUGAUAUGAGAUAUUCUCUUGCUCUAGUAUAGCUGUUUGCAAGCUGUAUUAUCGGGGGGAAAGAAAGCUGAAUAUUUCGAAAGGGCUUCGUUGGGAGUGCCCUCUCAAGAUAUGAUGAAGGGUUGAGCAUUUUUGCAGGUCUGCCUGUCCGUUGGGGAUGGAGGUUGACAUAUAUAGGAGUCUCCCUAACAGGUAGUACAUGCUAUUCCCUUUACCCUGCUUGGUCAUAGCACGGUGUAGUGGGAGCUGUCAGUUUCACAUGUUUUUAACUCUGUCAGAGCACUUUGAAAAAGUGGUCUGUGGAUUGGCUCUCGUGGGAACGAUAUUUUCGAUUUUUGGCUCUCGCAGAGAUUCGGAGAACGAUGGUCCUCUCUCGAUUUCGAUUUUUGAAGAAAUUUUGGCAGAAAGUAAACAAUGCAUGUUGGCUGUGGGUCUGGCUCUCUUGAGUCGAUUUGAAGGGUUGAGCUGAAAAAUUUUUGCAUUAAAGGUGAUGAGGUCCAAUUUUCAAAAAUUACUAGUUUUCCUGUUUUAGCAGGGAAAUUUUUCAUUUUAGAUUUAAUCAUGGCGGAUCAGAUGCUCCGAUUCAUUUGUUGACUCUUCAGUUUCUUUUUUUUUAAUUUGCGGAGUUCAACAGGGUGUGUUCCUCUUCGAUUUUGGAAGCAAGUAAUCUUGUUGGGAAGUGUUGCUCUCGAAUGUGAGUAAAGGUUGGGCAUGUUUGCUAGUCUACUUACCCUUGCCACGAAGCACAAAGGUUGAUACACAGGGGACUUUCCAAUUAUCCAGCAAAUGGUACUGUUUCCUUUACCCUCUCUUCGAAUUUUGAGAAAUGUAGGAUCAUGUUGGGAGUCUGUGCUCUCGAGAUUCGGAGGACGGUGCCCUCUCGAUUUUAGAGCAAGCAAUCUUGUUUGGAGUGUUUCUCUCGAAUGUGAGUAAAGUUGGGCAUGUUUGCUAGUCUACCUUGCCACGAAGCACAGAGGUUGGACACACACAGGGAGUUUCCAAUUAUCCAGCAGUGGUACUGUUCCUUUACCCUUGUGGGUAAUAAAUAUUGGUAGCUAGACCUUCAAAAUUUAUGUGUCUAAACUUUUGUUAGUGUUGUUUCUUUGCUAUUCUUGUUACCUUUCUUGGUCAGAGCGAUGUAGUGGGUCAGAGCUGCAAGAACUUCGUGCUGAACUCUCAAAAUUUGCGCAGAGAACUUUUUAUCUGGCAAAGUUGUAUCUAUUGUGCGUACCUUGCAUGUCAAACCAAUGAGCUAUGUGUUGACGUGUGGGAAGUGGUGUUGUGAUUGAACAGUAAGAUUCAUUGUUUUUGCUUUCUACUUCACCAGAGAAGUCUUCGACAGAAUGUAUGCCCAUAAUAUUCUGCAAAAGCUGAGUGUGCGUGUGACAGGUGCUGACAAGGCUAGAAAUAGUAGGUGCCUCUUCGAUUUCUGAGAUCGGCCCUCGUGGUCUCUGAGCACAGCCCAGCUUUUGAGAAAGCGAGCGCCCUGUUCGAUUGAUUCGAAGAACCGAUCGCCUCAUCGAUUUUUUGAGAAAAGCAGUCAUCGCUGGGGGUCUGGCUCUCUCGAAGAUUCGGGGUAGCAGUGUCUCUUCGUCUGAUUUUUUAGAAAGUAAUCAUGUUGGGAGUCUGGCUCUCGAGAAUUCGGAGGCGGGCCUCUCUUCGAUUUUGGAGCAAGCAGUUUUCUUGUUGGGAGUGUUUUCUCGAAUGUGUUUUAGAGUAAAGGUUGGGCAUGUUUGCUAGUCUACCUUGCCACGAAGCACAGAGGUUGACACACACGCAGGGACUUUGUCCAAUUAUCCAGCAAUGGUACUGUUCCUUUUACCCUCUCUCACUGCGAUUUUUAAGAAAGUUGAGUCAUCAUGUUGGGAGUCUGGCUCGCUCGAGAUUCGGAGGACCCGGUGCCUUCUUCGAUUUUGGAGCAAGCAAUCUUAUUGGAGUGUUUUCCUCGAAUGUGAGUAAAGGUUGGGCAUGUUUGCUAGUCUACCUUGCCACGAAGCACAGAGGUUGACAACACAGGGACUGGUCCAAUUAUCCAGCAGUGGUACUGUUCCUUUACCCUUGUGGGUUAAUAUAUGGUAGCUAGACCUUCAAAAUUUAUGGGUCUUAAACUUGUUAGUGCUGUUUCUUUGCUAUUCUUUUUUUGCUAUUCUUUUACCUUCUUGGUCAGAGCGAUGUAGUGGGAGCUGCAAGCUUCACGUGCUCGACUUUGGCAGAGAACUUUGGCAAAGUUUUAUGUGGUACCCAUGAGCUAUUGUUGCGUGUGGGAAGUGGGUGAUUGAACAGUAAGAUUCAUGUGUUUUCUACUUCCCCAGAAGUCUUCGACAGAAUGCCCAUAAUUUCCGCAAAGCUGAGUGUGCGCGUGACAGGUGCUGACAAGGCUGGAAAAGUAGGUGCCUCUUCGAUUUCUGAGAUCGGCCCUCGUGGUCUCUGGGGAGCCCAGCUUUUGAGAAAGCGAGCGCCUCUUCAAUUUCUGAGACCAGCCUUCGUGGUCUUUGAGCAGCCCAACUUUUGAGAAAGCAAACGCCUCUUAGAUUUCUGAGAUCAACCCUCGUGAUCUCUAAGCAGCCCAGCUUUUGAGAAAGCAAACGCCUCUUCGAUUUCUGAGCAGGCGCCUUCUUCGAUUUCUGAAGCUCCGUCGAGUGCAGAUUUUUAUAAGGGCUGACAUUAAGUUCCAAAGCACACUUGAAUCUCCACCAGUAGAAGCUUCAUUCUUGCACUUCUAAGAUCUUGAUUUGUCCGACCUCUUCUCUCUUCAACACCUUUGAAAAUGUCUGGCCCUCCGACCGUCGUUUUGACUUGAACCUUGUUGAAGAGGCAGCCCCGCCUUCUCCAGACAACAUAUGGCGCCCAUCCUUCGUCUCCCCUACUGGUCCUCUUACCGUUGGGGAUUCCGUGAUGAAGAAUGAUAUGACCGCUGCGGUGGUGGCCAAGAACCUUCUCACUCCCAAAGAUAACAGACUACUUUCCAAACGGUCUGAUGAGUUAGCUGUUAAGGAUUCGCUGGCUCUCAGUGUUCAGUGUGCAGGUUCUGUGUCUAAUAUGGCCCAACGCCUAUUUGCUCGAACCCGCCAAGUUGAAUCAUUGGCGGCUGAAGUGAUGAGUCUCAAACAGGAGAUUAGAGGGCUCAAGCAUGAGAAUAAACAGUUGCACCGGCUCGCACAUGACUAUGCUACACAAACAUGAAGAGGAAGCUUGACCAGAUGAAGGAAACUGAUGGUCAGGUUUUACUUGAUCAUCAGAGAUUUUGUAGGUUUGUUCCAAAGGCAUUUAUUGCCUUCGUCUUCUGGGGCUGUACCGCGUAAUGAAGCUCCAAAUGAUCAACCUCUGAUGCCUCCUCCUUCUAGGGUUCUGUCCAGUACUGAGGCUCCAAAUGAUCCCCCUCCGGUGCCUUCUCUUUCUGGGGCUCUACCGACUGCUGAGACUUCUCCUAAGCAACCUUUGUGAAGGCUCCCUCUUGUGUGUUUAUUUUGACUCAUGUAUAUGUACAUAUUUGUAGCUUAUCGGGGAUAUCAAUAAAUAAGCUUUCCUUCAUUUCAACGUAUUGUGUUAAAUACACCAAAGCCUUCUUCGCUAAGUUCUUUGAAUUUUCUUUUGUUGAAGCUUGUAUGUUGAAGCUUUCUGAGUGGAGCAUGUAGGUUGGGGUAGUGUUCCCUUAAUUUUCCGAGUGAGGAAAACUUCUCGGUUGGAGAACUUGGAAAAUCCAAGUCACUGAGUGGGAUCGGCUAUAUGAAUUUAGAACGCCAUUGUGCUCGAUCCUGUGUCAUGUCCUUCGUUAGAUCCAAGUACUCUAAGUCUUUUCUUAGAGUCUCUUCCAAAGUUUUCCUAGGUCUUCCUCUACCCCUUCGGCCCUGAACCUCUGUCCCAUCGUCGCAUCUUCUAAUCGGAGCGUCAGUAGGCCUUCUUUGCACAUGUCCAAACCACCGUAACCGAUUUUCUCAUCUUUCCUUCAAUUUCGGCUACUCCUACUUUACCCCGGAUAUCCUCAUUCCUAAUCUUAUCCUUUCUUGUGUGCCCACACAUCCAACGAAGCAUCCUCAUCUCCGCUACACCCAUUUUGUGUACGUGUUGAUGUUUCACCGCCCAACAUUCUGUGCCAUACAGCAUCGCCGGCCUUAUUGCCGUCCUAUAAAAUUUUCCCUUAAGCUUCAGUGGCAUACGGCGGUCACAUAACACGCCGGAUGCACUCUUCCACUUCAUCCAUCCAGCUUGUAUUCUAUGGUUGAGAUCUCCAUCUAAUUCUCCGUUCUUUUGCAAGAUAGAUCCUAGGUAACGAAAACGGUCGCUCUUUGGUAUUUCUUGAUCUCCGAUUCUCACCCCUAACUCGUUUUGGCCUCCAUUUGCACUGAACUUGCACUCCAUAUAUUCUGUCUUUGAUCGGCUUAGGCGAAGACCUUUAGAUUCCAACACUUCUCUCCAAAGGUUAAGCUUUGCAUUUACCCCUUCCUGAGUUUCAUCUAUCAACACUAUAUCGUCUGCGAAAAGCAUACACCAAGGAAUAUCAUCUUGAAUAUGUCUUGUUAACUCAUCCAUUACCAACGCAAAAAGGUAAGGACUUAAGGAUGAGCCUUGAUGUAAUCCUACAGUUAUGGGAAAGCUUUCGGUUUGUCCUUCAUGAGUUCUUACGGCAGUCUUUGCUCCUUCAUACAUAUCCUUUAUAGCUUGGAUAUAUGCUACUCGUACUCCUUUCUUCUCUAAAAUCCUCCAAAGAAUGUCUCUUGGGACCCUAUCAUACGCUUUUUCCAAAUCUAUAAAGACCAUGUGUAAAUCCUUUUUCCCAUCUCUAUAUCUUUCCAUCAAUCUUCGUAAGAGAUAGAUUGCCUCCAUGGUUGAGCGCCCUGGCAUGAAACCCGAAUUGGUUGUCCGAAACCCGUGUCUCUUGCCUCAAUCUAUGCUCAAUGACUCUCUCCCAGAGCUUCAUUGUAUGACUCAUUAGCUUAAUACCCCUAUAGUUCAUGCAAUUUUGUACGUCGCCCUUAUUCUUGUAGAUAGGCACCAAAGUGCUCGUGCGCCACUCACUCAUUUGGCAUCUUCUUCGUUUUCAAAUCCUAUUGAAAAGGUCAGUGAGCCAUGUUAUACCUGUCUCUCCCAAAAGUUUCCACACUUCGAUUGGUAUUAUCGUCUGGGCCUAUUGCUUUUUUAUGCUUCAUUCUUCAAAGCUACAACCACUUCUUCCUUCCGGAUUCGACGAUAAAAAGAGUAGUUUCUACACUCUUUCUGAGUUACUCAACUCCCCUAAAGAAGCACUCAUUUCAUGUCCUUCAUUGAAAAGAUUAUGAAAAUAACCUCUCCAUCUGUCUUUAACCGCGUUCUCUGUAGCAAGAACCUUUCCAUCCUCAUCCUUGAUGCACCUCACUUGGUUUAGGUCCCUUGUCUUCUUUUCCCUUGCUCUAGAUAGUUUAUAGAUAUCCAACUCUCCUUCUUUGGUAUCUAGUCGUUUAUACAUAUCGUCGUAAGCCGCUAACUUAGCUUCUCUGACAGCUUUCUUCGCCUCUUGCUUCGCUUUUCUAUACCUUUCACCAUUUUCAUCGGUCCUCUCCUUGUAUAAGGCUUUACAACAUUCCUUCUUAGCCUUCACCUUUGUUUGUACCUCCUCAUUCCACACCACAAGAUUCCUUUUGGUGUGGGGGCAAAGCCCUUGGACUCUCCUAAUACCUCUUUUGCUACUUUUCGGAUACAACUAGCCAUGGAAUCCCACAUUUGGCUAGCUUCCCCCUCUCUAUCCCACACACAUUGGGUGAUUACCUUCUCUUUGAAAAUGACUUGUUUUUCUUCUUUUAGAUUCCACCAUCUAGUCCUUGGGCACUUCCAAGUCUUGUUCUUUUGUCUUACUUCUUUUGAUAUGUACAUCCAUCACCAACAAGCGAUGUUGAUUAGCCACGCUCUCUCCUGGGUAUAACUUUGCAAUCCUUACAAGUUAUACGAUCCCCUUUCCUCAUUAGAAGAAAAUCUAUUUGUGUUUUUUGACGACCCACUCUUGUAGGUGAUCACAUGUUCUUCUCUCUUCUUAAAGAAGGUGUUGGCUAAGAGAGAUCAUAUGCCAUUGCAAAAUCCAAGAUAGCUUCCCCAUCCUCGUUUCUCUCCCCAAAACCAUGGCCACCAUGAAAACCUCCAUAGUUGCCUGUCUCCCUGCCCACGUGUCCAUUUAAAUCUCCUCCUAUAAAUAACUUCUCCGUCUGAGCAAUUCCUUGCACCAAGUCUCCAAGAUCUUCCCAAAAUUUCUCCUUCGAACUCGUAUCCAACCCUACUUGAGGUGCGUACGCACUAAUCACAUUGAUAAGUUCUUGUCCUAUUACAAUCUUGAUUGCCAUGAUUCUAUCUCCUACCCUCUUGACAUCUACAACAUCUUGUACCAAGGUCUUGUCCACGAUGAUGCCAACACCGUUUCUCGUUCUAUUUGUGCCCGAUAAUACCAAAGUUUAAACCCUGAGUUUUCUAGAUCCUUUGCCUUACUACCAACCCACUUAGUUUCUUGUAGGCACAUAAUAUUUAUCCUUCUCCUCACCAUAACUUCCACUACUUCCAUAGAUUUUCCCGUUAAGGUUCCUAUAUUCCACGUUCCUAAACGCAUUUUGCUCUCUUGAACUCUACCCUUCUGUCCUAGCUUCUUCACCCUCCCCCGUCUAAUAGGAUCAAAGUACUUCUUUUGUGUGUCCCGGGUAAAGUUGAUAGGAGCAUAUGCUCCCAAACAACUUUGAGUGGAGUCGUUCGAAAAGAAGUUUCUAUGGCCCCCUUGCUCAUUUAACACUGCAUCCGGGUGCCGAUGGAGAUACAGCGACCCUUGCUCACUUAUCACUGUGUUCGGGCCACACAGCGCGCCACUUACGGGUGACGCCCUAGCUUUAGCGUGAUUUUGUUCUGGAUUCAUUUUCAUAAGGAUUCGACGUGAUCAUGGAGUGCCGGCUGUCGACUACCUGACGCCCUCCCCCUCCUCCUUUAUCCGGGCUUGGGACCGGCCAUGUAAGACAUAGGCGGAGUUUCAUAACAUUAGUUCAACAUGAAUGUAUUUUAUGUUUAACCACUCUAGACCUUACGAGUAACAGAAAGCGUACCUCGCUUUUAAUAAAAAUUGGAUUGGUUGAAAUGCUGGCAUGACAGCUGUUGCUAGUUACCCUGGUAAUAAUUAAAAAGAAAAAAGGAGUGGAUAGUUUCUGCAAACGGGGAUUUUUAUUAAGCUUUGAUGUGGGAAAAAGUAGAAACAGUGGUAGGGAACCUUAACAAACUUGCAGGAAGGGAUUAGGGAAGGAAUCAGAUUCGCUAACAUUGCCAAAAAGAAUCCAUGUAUUACUACUGCUUUGGUUUACUAGUGCUUUCUCCACACGUAUUCUUCUCCACCCUCUUCCUUUAUAUGUGCAUAUUGUCAAACUUUCUUUGCACAAUUCUUCAUGUAAUUUCAUCGACCUCAAGUUAGAAAGAACAAAGAUCGAUUGAUAGGCAGAGGAAGUAAGAAAAAUGGAAAAACAUUUCAAUCUGUUAAUGUUACCACUUUUACCAGUUGUUAUGUUUCUUUCAGGUAUUACCUGUGUAAUGCUAGGGAGACCAAAUUUCUAAACCAAAUGAUGUGGAUGUUGAUGAUUGGAUUUUACUUAAUGUUGAUGGACAUGCUUAUUUCCUAUUGGUGACGCAUCAUUUGGUUUGUAAAUUUGGUUUAAAAUUUUGGUCUCCCUAGCAUUAUCCUAUUUCUUGAUCAUAUCAAUUUUUCUGGUUUAUGUUUCUUUCACAGUUUGUGUGGAUAAUGGCAUUGACUAGAAUGUAGUAUCGGUCCUUUUGUAAACAUGCUCAAAUCAAUAUGAUCAAAAUUCAAAAUAUUAAUCUGUCACAUCCUUGGAUUAAAUUAAGGGUGGAAAAAAUUAACAACCCUUUUAGUUAAUUUGUGCACCAAUAUUUCAUGUCAAAUUUUAGAGCUAUUGGUUUCUUGGAUGUUUGCAGGACCAAAGUUAUCCGAAUCUGCUAGAACUUUCACCAUUGUAAACAAUUGCAAAGAGACAGUCUGGCCUGCAGUGAUUCCUGCGGACAACUUCACUGCUGGUAGUUUUGUGCUAAAACCGGGCCAGUCAAUCCUGUUCACUGCCCCAGUUAGCUGGUCUGGCAGGAUAUGGGGUCGAACAGGCUGCAACUUUGACAAAAAUGGCAAUGGCUCGUGCCAGACCGGCUGUGGCAGCACCCACCAGUGUGGAGCCUCAGCAAAGCCCCCAGCAACACUCGCUGAAUUCACAUUGGCCAAGCAAGACUUUUAUGAUGUGAGCCUUGUUGACGGGUUCAACCUGCCGUUGGUUGUGACACCUCUAAAUGGUACGGGAAAUUGCAGUGUAUCUGGUUGUGACACGGACCUGAGACCGAAUUGCCCGAAAGAGCUAGCUGUCAAGGCAAAUGGGAAGAAUAUUGGAUGCAGAAGCGCGUGUGACGUGUUCAACACAGAUGAGUACUGCUGCCGAGGGCGUUAUGGCAAUGCUGCGGUGUGUAAACCCACAUAUUAUUCCAAGAAGUUCAAAGAAGCAUGCCCUACUGCCUACAGUUAUGCUUACGAUGAUCCGACCAGUAUCUUUACUUGCUCGGGCACAGAUUACGUCAUCGCUUUCUGCUCAACCAGGUUUGUCAUCAGCUAAUUACAUGCACAAAAACUGUUUUAAAUCUCUCUUUGGGAUUUGGAUGCAGUGAUUAUAUAAUCGAGGGUUGAAAUAAGAAAAGAUUUUGAACAUUGAAAUUUGAUUCUUGUUCAUGUAUUUGUAUCUUCGGUAAUGUUUUCUUGCCAAAUAUAUGUGCGCUCUUGAUGCUGCGCGCUUUGCAAAUAAAAAUUGAUCAAUGUUUUAGCAUUUUGUAUCUGAUUUUUUUUCCCUUGUGGUGUAAGUUAUUCACUUUUAUUGUUGUCAUAUGCAGGAAGCAACCGAUGUGCACAUAUCGCCACCACAAGAUUCCGUGUCCUAAUGUAUCUGGAUCAGUAGGUUUAAAGUCAUUGAGGUGCGCUCUUGAUGCUGCGCGCUUUGCAAAUAAAAAUUGAUCAAUGUUUUAGCAUUUUGUAUCUGAUUUUUUUUCCCUUGUGGUGUAAGUUAUUCACUUUUAUUGUUGUCAUAUGCAGGAAGCAACCGAUGUGCACAUAUCGCCACCACAAGAUUCCGUGUCCAAAUGUAUCUGGAUCAGUAGGUUUAAAGUCAUUGAGAUGGUGGGCUGUGAUGCUUGGAUUGUUAACGAUGAUUAAUUUAUGGAUUAAUUUUUGAAAAAAUAGUAUUUUUCCUCUCCAAGUUUAGAGGUGUAUUUUACAUCCCUUUUGAACUUAGAAGCAGCACUUCAAAAGAAAAACUUUAUUUCAGAGUAUUUUCCAUGCACCAUGCUGGUUGGUUGUACAAGUGAAGUUGUUCAUUUUAUUCUUUUCUUUUCAAAGAGAAUAUAUUUGAAUGCAGUUUCUUUACACAAACUUUGCUCGUCUCCACUCUCAUCUUCAACAUCAUAAUAAACAAGAGAUAAGGUUGAGUUAUUAGGUCUAGUUUGGUAUUGCUACGUUUUUUGUAAAAAAAUAUUUUCUUAAAAUAUACUUUGUAUAAGUGUUGUGAAUAGAAAAAUAAUGUUCAAGUGUUUGGUAAAUUUUUCUAUAAAUUUGCAAUAACUAAGACAGUUAGAAGGGUUGAAGGUCCGGGAAGAGGUGGAGGCUCAAUUACACGAGAACCCCCGCCAGCCCUGGGACUAGCUUGCUUUCGUAGGGUCCGAAUUUGGAUCUUGGCAUGUCGGUGGUUUUUAACCGUAGGCAUCUUUGCCACGAAGUUGAUGGGCUCAUCGUGAAUCAUGAAUAACCAAAAAGGACAUUGAUUUUAAUUUUAUUUUUCAGUAAACUAAUAUAAAUUUGGAAAUAUAUUAUAAAACAUAAAAUCUGAAGAAAAAAACUAAAACAUAAAAUUAAAAUUAAUUCCAAGAAAUUAAUUCCAAGCAGACCCACCCCACCCAUUCAAACCCCCUCCACGACCAGACCACCCAUCCAAACAACCACCACGACCAGACUAUCCAUCCAAACUGCCGGACAACCCAUCCAAACCGCCAUCGUGACCAGACAACCCAACCACCACCCAGCCCAGCUCCUACCCUCGCCUAAUGGCCCUAACCCACUUCCACAACUCGCAGCCACCACAUUGGCGUGCCCAUCUCAAUUUACCAUUGGUGCAAGCAUCUCGAUCUAUCUUUCCCAAUCAGCAGCCAUACCCGCUUCUAUGUGCACUCUCUCACUCUAGUCAUCUAAGCAAAGGAUUUCGGUCUCAUGAGAUAGCAAGCAGGAGCUUGGAGGAGGCGGCGAGCAGAAAGAAAGGGCCUUAAUUGUGAAAAAACAAGAAUUUUUUGCUUACCAAAGAUAUAAUACAGCCCAGCAUUUUUUCAGAGGAAAACUAAUGAAAAGGGCUUGAAAACUUUGAGUUUUAAUGAUAAGGACAAAAUAAAGGGUAAAGUGAAUAGUACCAGGAUUGACUUUUUAGUGUAAAAAUGUGGUUUUUCAUUAAAGUGAACAGUACCAGGUGUUUUUCGUUAAAGUUCCCUUUUUUCAGACAUGCUUUUAAAAGAAUUUAAGCACUCCCAAACUAGACCACCGACGGUUUCUAAUAUACUUGGGUAAUUCGUUUCGAUCUGUUAAAAAAAAAUUAUUUUGAUAAUUUUAAAGUUUAAUUACUAAAAGAUUUAUUAUAAAAUACAAUAGUCAUAUUAAUAUAUACAAUAUAUUCUAUAUUAAAUAUAUAGUUUUGUAUUAUUAUUCUAUAUAAGUUUAAAAAAAAGUUUUAGUCAUUAUAUAUUUUUAUUAUAAGAGUUCUUUAUUAUCAUUACUAUGAUAUAUUUUACUUAACAUGUUGUUGUCCAAAAUUAAAAUAAACUAGUAUAAUAUUUGUAUAGACAAGAACUAAAAAGACAUACAUACAAGUAUGAAAAAUGUGAAAGAAUAUAUAAACACUCGUGAUUCAUCAUUAUUCCUCCACGAGUAGAUAAUGGUUACACUUACAUUAUCAUUUAGAUUUUUAAAGCCCUCCAAACCCUCAUGAAUAAUGUUUUUAUUUGAGGGCAAAAUUAAUAAAAUUAAUAAUAAUUAUUGUAGAAGUGUAAAAAAUGUAAAAUAUAUAUAUAUAUAUACACACACAAUCACUCAUAGUGACAAGCUUUACAACUUUCAUGAAGGGAUCAGCUUCGAAAUCCAACAUUAUAAUCCAUAAACCUUAAAUUUAUAUUUAACCGUCGAUUGUCAUUUACGUUUUAUUCUUCUUACUGAAUUUCAUUUUUUUAAUUUUCUUUUUUGAAAACAUGAUCAUCUGGCGGAUGUAAGAAGAUGAACGGUUCAGAUCUUUGAUAUCAUGUUUUGAUAUUUACGGUUAACUGAAAUAUGAGUCGAUGUCAUAUAGUUUGUAAAAACCUUAUAAACAUCAAGCAAUAUUUUCACUAAUCGUAAAACUCUGAAUAUAAUAUCAACGAUCCAAACCGUUCAUCUUCCUGCAUCCUCUAAUAGAUCAUGUUUUCAAAAAAGAAAAUCUGAAAAAACAAAAUUUGAUGAGAACAAUGAAGCGUAAAUGUAAACAAUAAUCAACGGUUAAAUUUUGAUCUAUGAUUUAUAUGAUUAUAGUGGCGAAUUUCGAAGUUAAGCCCUUCAUGAAAGUUGUAAAGCUUGUCAUUACGAGCGUUUAUAUAUUUGUUACACUUCUACAUUAAUGAAAAAACUAUUAAAGACUUUACUAAAUAACAGCUGUAAGAUAAAUGAGAGUAAAUCUGCACCGUUGGAUUCUAUUUCACUUACAUUAUUAGAAUUUUUUAGGACGAAAAACCCCUCCUCUAUUCCAAUAUUUUCCAAUUUUACCAUUUGAUCAAUUUAGGUAAGCAAAAAUAUACUUAAAAGAAAAAUGUGUUUUUAUGUUUUGGAUGUGACAAUAUGGUAUGUAUAUACUUAUUUAGUAUUAUGUUUUUCAUUUGAUUAUUUAUUGGUUUAAAAUAUAUUUUCCUUAACGGGUAACGGAUCGGGUCAUAUUACCUGUUAAUAUUAUCGGGUCGAUUUCGAUCGGGUCAUUUUACCCGUUUAUUUUAACGGGUGUUACACGACACGACCCGUUAAGAUAUCGGAUAUGACACGAAAACGACAUGAACACGAAAAACACGACACUAAUGCCAGGUCUGUCCCAAACUAGUACUAAGUCCUUCAAAUAAAUAAAGUCAACUUAUGCUUGCCAACUACCACUUCUUCAAAAGGGGUUCUAUGUAGAAAUCUCAUAGAUGACAGUUGUUCAUUAAUUAAAAAUGAUAAGUCAUAAAAGACCUAAGUUUAGCCAUAAUGGCUAGAGCAAUGUGCUCUACCAUUUGAACUCAAGUUUGAAUCCCAUGAAUUCAGUAUUAGUAUCCUAUCAGUUGUUAAAUAAGAAUGUGGGUCAUGGGUUUGGAUCUUUGGUCCAGUUGGGUCUAAUAAACUCAAACCUAAGUCCCAAACCAUUUCAAUGUGUUUAGUUCAAUCAUGUUGAAUCAGAUUGUGAACAACUUAAAUUUCCUAUUUUAUAUCAUAUCAGAUACAAUAGCAUGAGUUUUUAAGCUUAAACUUACAUUCACAUGUAGUGAAGGUCGCUUAUAAACGAUCGUGUUAAGUUCAAUUCCUAGCAUGAGUGAGAUGAUGUCAUAGUUGCAAGUGCUUUGUCAAUGCUUAUGAUUUUCAUUAAACAUAAUGAUCUUUUAUUGUAUCUCUAUUAUGAUGUCAUGUAGGGAACUUUAGAAGAAUGUUUUGGGUUGUCGAAUGAUGUCAUCCAAUCCAAUAAAACAAGGAAAAUCUGAGAGUUAACUAGUGAUGUCACGGUUAAUUUGGAGCAUUGUCGUUCAUAAUUCAGUGAAGUAGUAACUGGAAAUGGAGUUAUUUGCAUACAUGUCAUGUGUGGAGAAAAAGCCUCUAGCUAUCCCAUCCAUUAUCUUAUUUCUCAAAUUUGUUUUACAAUCUGUCUAGUUUUUCAUACUUGUUUGUUUGUUUCAACUUCGUCCAAAACUCAAUCCCCCUUUACUUUAGUGUGUCUAAUUAGUUAGAAUCUGUUUUAAUUUGUGUUUUUAAAUAUUUUGAUUCAAGUAAAAGUCAAUUUUCGUCCAAAGUCAUUCCUAGUGUCUAGUUUAAGUUUAUUUAGUUGUUCUAAGCUGGUUUGAGUAUUUUAAGUUUGCUUUGAGUCUUGUGAGUCUUGUUAAGUAUUUUUAAGUUUAGUUUUAUGUUUUUGAGUCAGUUUAGAGGUUAUUAGCAAGCCCUCCUAAUCCCUGGUCCAGAACGAUCCCUACUUAUACUUAUACUACAGUUGUCAAAAGAUGGUUAAAUUUGUGUGUUAAGAUAAUUUUUGCAUCAGGCUUGCACCACAAUCUCUUGCUCAAUAGUGUGGAAGCAAAAUUUGUAUAUGUUGUCUCUCCCACAUUUUCAAAUUUCUAGUUUCCCAAGAAAAAAAAUUGGGAAAUUCAACAAAGCUUCAUCAAUGGAGGACAACUACAAAUUCUCAAAAGCUUCACACUAUCUUGAUCAAGAUAGUGUGAAGCAAAAUCAAUUCGUGGUACCCAACAAAGCUUCACCACAAAAGCUUCACCAACAAAAGCUUCAUCAAUGGAGGACAACUACAAAUUCUCAAAAGCUUCACACUAUCUUGAUCAAGAUAGUGUGAAGAAAAAUCAAGUCAUGGUACCCAACAAAAGCUUCAACUCCAAAGCUUCACCUACAAAAGCUUCACCCAUAAUAGCUUCACCUACAAAAGCUUCACCCAUAAAAGCUUCACCCACAAAAGGUUCACCCAUCACAAAAGGUUCACCCACAAAAGCUUCCCCCAACACAAAAGCUUCACCAACAAAAGCUUCACCUACAAAGCUUCAACAUAAAAGCUUCACCUACAAAAGCUUCACACUAUCUUGAUCAAGAUAGUGUGAAGCAAAAUCAAUUCAUGGUACCCAACAAAGCUUCAACCUCAAAGUUUCACCUACAAAGCUUUAAAAUAUAUAUAUAUAUAUUUAUUUUUUUUUUCGGAAAUUCGAAAAUUCGAAAAUUCGAAAAUUCGAAAAAUAGAAAAUUAUAAAAAAAAAAUUCGAAAAAAAAAUUGCCUAGGCCUCUUCUUCUUUGGGCCUAACAACUUUCAUAACAAAUAUAUAUGAAGAAGAAGUUUUGGGCUACCAUUUAGAAAGGAAACGCCUCAUUCGUCAACUCCCUUGACCGGAGACUUGGGGGACUCCUACCACAUGCUACUGCACCUUGAUACUCGGAAGUCUCACGACCACUCAGUGACUAGGAUUUUUCAAGUCUCCAAACAAGAAGUUUUCCUCACUUGGGAAAUUAAGGGAGCAGUACCUCAACCUACAUGCUUCACUCAUAAAGCUUCAACAUACAAGCUUCAACAAAAGGAAAAAUUCAAAGAACUUAGUGAAGAAGGCAUUGGUGUAUUUAACACAAUACGUCAGAAAUAAAGCAAAGCUUGUUUAUUGAUAUCUCCGAUAAGUUACAGAUAUGUACAUAUACAUGAAUCAAAAUAAACAAACAAGAGGGAGCCUUCACAAAGGUUGCUCAGGAGAAGUCUCAGCAGUCGGCAGAGCCCCAGAAAGAGGAGGCACCAAAGGGUGAUAUUCGGAGCCUCAGUACUAGGCAGAACCCCAGAAUGAGGAGGCACCGAAGGUUGAUCAUUUGGAGCUUCAUUACGCGGUACAGCCCCAGAAGAAGAAGGCAAUAAAUGCCUUUGGAACAAACCCACAAACCUCUGAUGAUCAAGUAAAAUCUAACCAUCAGAUUCCUGCAGCUGGUCGAGCUUCCUCUUCAUGUUUAUAGCAUAGUCAUGUGCGAGCCUAUGCAACUAUUUAUUCUCAUGCUUGAGCCCUCUGAUAUCCUGUUUGAGACUUAUCACUUCAGCCGCCAAUGAUUCAACUUGGCGGGUUCGAGCAAAUAGGCGUUGGGUCAUAUUAGACACAGAACCUACAUACUGAACACUGAGAGCCAGAAAAUCCUUAACAGCCAACUCAUCAGACCAUUUGGAAAGUAGUUUGUUAUCUUUGGGAGUGAGAAGGUUCCUGGCCACCACCGCAGCGAUCAUAUCAUUCUUCAUCACAGAGUCCCCAACGGUAAGAGGACCAGUAUGGGAUAAGAAGGAUGGGCACCAUAUGUUGUCUUGAUAAGGCAUGGUUGCCUUUUCACCAAAGUUCAAGUUAAAACAACGGUUGGAUGGGCCAGACAUUCUCAGAAAUGAUGAAGGAGAAAUGAGGUGCAAUAAAUCUCUAAAGUAAGGGGAAAAUUCAUACAAGUAAUAACUCUCUGAAUGUACUUCUAGCACACAAUUGGUGCCCUUAUAAAAGAAAGGGCAACAUGGCCGUUGGUUCAAAAAUCGAAGAGGCACCACUCUCUGAAUUCCGAAGAGACACCACUUUCCACAUGCAAUAUCAGCUCAUCGGGUACCACAGAUAACUUUGCUAAAGAUCUCUGACAAAGUUUAGACACAUAAAUUUUGAAGGUUCAACUACCCUACUAUUACCCACAAGGGUAAAGGAACAGCACUACUGCUUGAUAACUAGAAAGUCCCAAUGUGUGUCAACCUCUGUGCUCCCUGGCAAGGCAGACUGGCAAAAAUGCCCAACCUUUACUCACAUUUGAGAAAACACUCCCAAUAAGAUUGCUUGCUUAAAAAUCGAAGAGGCACCGCUUUCUGAAUCUCGAAAGCUAAACUUCCAACAGGAUUACGUGCUCAAAAAUCGAAGAGGCACCGCCCUCCGAAUCUCGAAAGCCAGACUCCCAACAGGAUUACUUUCUCAGAAAUCGAAAAGACACUGCUCUUCGAAUCUCAAGAGCCAAACUCCUAACAGGAUUGCUUUCUCAAAAAUGAAAGAGUCACCGCUCUCCGAAUCUCGAGAGCCAGACUCCUAACAGGAUUACGUGCUCAAAAAUUGAAGAGCACUGCCUUCCGAAUCUUGAGAGCCAGACUCCCAACAUGAUUACUUUCUCAAAAAUCGAAGAGACACUGCUCUCCGAAUCUCAAGAGUCAAACUCCCAAUAGGAUUGCUUUCUCAAAAAUAGAAGAGGCACCGUUCUCUGAAUCUCGAGAGCCAAAUCCCUGACAGGAUUGCUUGUUAGAAAACCGAAGAGGCACCGCUCUUCAAACUUCGAGAGCCAGAUUUCCUUGGAUAAAAAUUGUCUGCAAUCUUCACAUGCAACAUCAGCUUUCCAGAUACCACAGACCACUUUUUCAAAGUGCUCUGACAAAGUUAAAACACGUGAAGCUUGCAGCUCCCACUACAUUGCUAUGACCAAGAAAGGUAAAGGAAUAACACUACUACUUGUUGUUAGGGAGACUCCUAUAUAUGUCGACCUUCAUCCUCCAUAGCCAGGCAGACCUGCAAAUAAAAAAAAUGCUCAACUUUUCUUCACAUCCGAGAGGGCACUCUCAACAGAGUCUCUCAAAAUACUCAGCUUCUUUUCCUCCCGAUAAUACCUCUGCAAACAAGCCACACUAGAGCAAGAGUAUCUCAUAUCAUCAGGGUCAAAAGCAAGAGUAUCAUAUAUCAUGCUUUUUCCCUGUCUUUUCCUUUGGCCUUGUUCUUACCUGAAAGACAAUGAGAAAGAGAGCAAUCAGUCAGCACUUGGAAUCAAGCUUCUAGUCAGGAACUGGCUGCCUGGAACCCCUUGCCUGAUUACUUACCUGGCAUUGCUCUCGAGUACUCAUCUUCAA
RNAcentral lists this long non-coding RNA (76356 nucleotides) under Malus domestica (apple). RNAcentral's name for it is "long non-coding RNA (MDOM_LNC015684)". Lineage: Eukaryota; Viridiplantae; Streptophyta; Magnoliopsida; Rosales; Rosaceae. The record is from RNAcentral.